This 76089-nucleotide long non-coding RNA is filed under the name Phaseolus vulgaris (common bean). RNAcentral describes it as "long non-coding RNA (PVUL_LNC004765)". The stretch from base 60084 to 60222 matches the Rfam family "Small nucleolar RNA Z247". The record is from RNAcentral. Lineage: Eukaryota; Viridiplantae; Streptophyta; Magnoliopsida; Fabales; Fabaceae.
UACACUUUCGAGAUUAGAACAAUUAUCUAAACAUAAAUAACUGAGCUUGGUGAGGAAUAUCGAGGAGUGAACUUCAAUCAACUUUUCACAAGAACUCAGAAUUAUUUCUUCAAUAUUUGGUGACAUAGAAAGGUCUGGUAUUCUAGUAAGUUUCAGAGAACCAGUCAGGUCGACCCUUUUCAACUUGGGUAAAUUCUGCCACAAAUACUAAAUGAAUGAGGUAACAAAUAAAAACUACUUUAUCUAUUUUUCUUCGGUAAACUAAUUUAUUUUUCAGAAAUGAUGAAAAUUAUAACUAAACUAUAUAAAAUUCCAUUUUAUUCUACUCAUCCUUAAUUUUUUUGUGAAAUCUUGAUUUUGGGAUAAUAUCACUUAAACUUAAGAAAUAUUUGGCAUUAAUGAACUCUAAACAAAUUCAUAUAAGAUAUACAUCACUUUCAAUCCAAAAUCUUAAACUAAUAGGUUUAUGAAUUUUCUUUAUAUGUUGUUUUAAAAAGUUGAGACUAAAUUGAACUUUUGAAAAUUGGGAGGAUGAAAUUAUAUUUUGUCUAUUAAUAUAGGGAUUAAAAAAAUAAUUGAAUCAAAUAUUACUAUUUUUGUGAUGUAUAUUUAUAUAUAAAUAAUUUUGAGAAUUUAGAGUUAUAUCAUAUAUAUAUAUAUAUAUAAAAUUCUUUUUGGUAAUGUAUCCUGUAAUUGUAAGCAAGUAUGAUUAUAUUAAGUGGGUGCGUUUCAAAUAGAGGAGACUACGCACAUACAAAUAUCUCUUAUAAAGUAAGAAAACAAACAAACCGUUACUCAAGAAGAUCAUGUAAUGCAUGACAGACAACAUGGGGAGAUAUCUAUCAUCAAUAAUAAAACGAUGUUUUCUGAGAGUUAAAAUUAAACCUUAUUUAAAAUAAGUCCAUCUUUCCAUAUUUUAUAAUUUGUUGUAUAUUAUAUUGAAGUUUAUGUUAUAAUAAAAAAAAUGACUUAAUUAAUCAAAUAAUGUGGAGAAGGCACAAAGGAAUUGCAAAUGAAAACCAGUAGAUGUAUAAUACAGAAAACAUGCUUGUAUAACUUAUUUUUGUCUUUGAAAGUUUAGAACACAAAGAAACAUAGAUAGCUUGAAAAACCUGAUCUCCUUCCCAAAGUUGUUCAAGAUUGCAGCCUGGCAUUUUGAGGGUCACUAGACUUUGUGGGCAAAAGUUUGGAGGCCAAAAUCUUUGAAGGAAAUUGUCCCAAUAAAGAAUCUUUAAAGUGUCCGGCAGAUCUACAAGAGAUGAUUCAAGAGACUCAUAAGAUUGUCCAUCUUUUCGAAACUUUGUGCAUGUACUACAGCAUCUUUUACUUUGUUCGUAUGUAGUAAUAUACACUGUAUUGCAUCUGACCCCUGAAAGUAAAUCAAUGUAAUUAGAAGAAAAAAACAUGAAAUGUUGCAUUGCAGGAUGUUUGAUGACAGCUCAGUGGUUUGCAAUUUUUCACAAAGUAAAUCCAUGUUCAAUUGAGUAACGACAUAAUACCUUGUUCUUUCUUAAAACCUCUCAAAUUUCCUCAGCAUUAAACAAUCGGCUGCGUUUUCCAGGAUGCUGAGGACACUCUUUACGAACAAUUUCUUGACUCAUUUCUUGUAUUAGAUCGUGCAUCACAAUUCUACCAUCAAAGACAGAUAUUAGGCCCCUAUCUUUGAGAAUAUCCAUUCCAAUCUUAGAAGAGAAACCACAGUCAGCAAGUGUUUCUGCUACCACAAUCUCCUGGCGUCCUCUAUAAAAGCAAGCUAUGUCAAGAAAUAUAUUCUUCUCCUCCUCCUCCAGCCCAUCAUAACUUAAUUUUAAUACAUUGAAAAUAUCAAGAUGUUGGCCCUUUUCCAACUUUUGCAACUGACUCUCCCAUGCUUCUCUUGUUCUGCCAUAAAGCAAUGACCCCAAAAUCUAGAGAGCUAAUGGAAUCCCUUUUGCAUAUCUCAACACCUUUUCUGACAGUUCCCUGUAAGCAAUUUCUUCUGAAGAUUUUUGUUUAAAAGCAAGUAAACUAAAAAGUUUCUGAGAAUCAUCAAAAUUCAACUCCUUAACUUCGUAGAUAUCAUCAGCUCUAGCAUUCUUAAGCACUUGUUUGUCUCUACUGGUGAUAAUCAUUCUACUGCCCUGCCCAAAACUAUCACUCCCUCCUAUUAAUUUUUUAAGUAGAGCUGAAUCGGUAACAUCAUCAAGAAUGAGGAGAGCCUUUGUCCGUUUCAGCCUUUCAUUGUAAUAUGAUAAACCAUGGGAUUUCUUUAUCUCUUCCUUUAGAAGCUCAGACAGAUAUUUUGUUCUGAUACUGUCUAUUCCAUCUUUUUGUAUUUUUUCUUGAACGUCUAAAACAAGGCUGCUGGAACCAAACUGCAAAGCCAAUGUGUGAUAUAUUUGAUAACAAAUUGUAGUUUUUCCUAUUCCUCCCAUGCCACAAAUUCCUAUGAUCCGAACAUGCGGUGACUCAAGAUGCAACAAGGACUGAAUUCCUUCAAUGUGUUUUUCAAUGCCGAUGAUUCCUUGAUCAUAACUGGUGGAAUAACGAUUCAAUUUUCUCAAAAUAUCUUCCACAAUUUCUUCAACAAGUGUGUGUUCUGGCCUGGCAGAUGAUUUAGAAAAUAAAGUAUAAGUAUUCAAGCACAAAAGCUAAACUAAACUAAAGAAAAAAUCAGAGUUAAGAGGAGUGAACAUCAUUGAAUAGAUUCACAUAUCGAUUCUAGUUUCGAGUUUUGGAUAAAAUAAAUAAAUUAAAAAGUUGAAGGUAAGUAUAGGACGUUAUCUUCGUAUAUUAGUUUGGUUGGUUUAGAAAUUGCAAAUCAAGAUGGCAAAAAUACUACAGUAACCGUUUGUGACUUCUGAUAAUAGGGAGCAGAUUUGUAGGUACAAAGUUAAGCUAUAACAUGUGAUAUGGUUCAGAUCCAUGACCGACUAAAAGAAAGACUUGAUUUAUGGUGAGAUGAACACAAUUUUAGUAAAUGAAAAGAAAUCCUGUUUAUCUCGAAAUUAUCUAAUAAAUAUAAUGACCUGGUGACUUUUGAAUCCCAGCCUGAAAGUCCAGCAGCUUCGGUGAGAGCAUCCUUCCAUCCUUGCGCUUUGACCAUGUCGUGCAUAAACCGCUGUUCAUGAUCAUCGAAUGAUUCUUUGUAUCUUUCUUCCUGCUUCCUAAUAGUUGAUGGAUCCACCUUGUAGAAAACAGGUAUCACAUCCCUUCCAAAUCUCUUCUUGCAUUCAAGUAUCUUACUGAGUUCAUUCAAGCACCAAGUGGAAGAUGCAUAGUUUUGGGAGAAAACGAUGACAUAAAUCUUUGAUUCUUCUAUUGCAGAGAGCAGUGCAGGUGAAAUUUCUUCGCCCCUGAGUAGUCUAUAAUCAAUAUAUGCUUCAAUGUUCUUCCUUUGCAGUGCUGCAUAAAGGUGGCUAAUGAAGUUGUCACGUGUGUCUUCGCCUCUGAAGCUGAGAAACACAUCAUGCCUUGUUAGAGAAGUAGACACGGCCAAUGAUGAAGGACUUUCUGACAUUGGAGUCAAUUUUCUCUCCUUUCUCUGCAAUUCUCAGGUCUCUUUCUUUGUACUGUUUCUACCACAAAUCUACUCUGCUGCUCUGGACUCAUUAUAAAACACAAGUCAACUUUUGAAAAAGUCUUUCAAUUUUCUUAACAUUCCUUUCACAGAUAUGUGUUCUGGUCAGACAUCGUAGUCAGCAGAAACUAAAGAAAAAGAAAAAUAUUAAUUUAAUAGAAUAGUCAACAAAUUGCAAAAUAAGUAUGGAAUCUAGAUUUAUAUCAUUAUCACGUGUGGAAACAUAGCUACGUCUUCUUAGAUAAAAUCCUUAUUUAAGUUUUAAUUGGGCCUUGUAGUGGGCUUUGUAAUCUGCUUUUCUUUUCUCCUAUAUUGCUUUAUAUAUACACCUCCACUUUUGCUUUCUACAUUUCAUUUUACAAAAUACAUUCUCUCAUUCUGUGUCAUUUAUCUUGCCUGAUUCCGUCCUCUCUUUAUCUUUUUCUCUCAUCCUCUUGCUUAUAAUUCUUUUGUUUUUAUUAAGAAAUACACUAUAAUUCUAAUUUAAUCAUAUACUAUAAUUAUGCUAAUCAUCAAUUAGUACUAUAUAUUAUUAAUGAUCUGCGUAUAUAUUAUUUAUGAUUUGCGGAUAAGACAAUAGAUUCAAUAAAUUCUAGAUAAAAUAAAUUUUAAAUGAAUAUGAUAAAAAUAUAUUAAAAAAUGAACUUUAUUGAAUCGAUUGAGUAUCUCUAUUUUAAAGACUUGUAAGAAUAAUAGGAAUAACAAUAUAUUAAUAUUAAUAUGUUUCUUAAUAAAUUUCAUACCCACUAUCUAUUUAUAAAUUAAUAUAUUAUAAAUAUCUAAUGAUGUCUUAUUUCUCUAACAUUUAAAAUUAAAUUUGUAGAUUCUACAAAACAUUACAUUUUGAUUUUAAUAUUUAUAAAAUAUUUUUUAUUCUCAUAUUUAAAAAACAAAACUUAGUUUGAGUGUAUUCCUUAGUUACUUACUACUCAUCACCAGCCGCCAACAGCGUGAUGGCUUCACUCUCCGUUCGCGCCACAACCACCUCUUAUCGGGCCUCCUUCCGGCCCAAGCCCACCUCGGGGCCCACCAGGGUCCGAAUGUCCCUCCGCGAUGACGGCCCCGCCAUCGCCGUCGUCGGCGUCACCGGCGCCGUUGGCGAGGAGUUCCUCUCCGACCGCGACUUCCCCUACCGUUCCAUCAAAAUGCUGGCCUCGCAGCUCUCCGCCGGCCGCCGCAUCAUCUUCGAGGACAGGGACUACGUCGUGGAGGAGCUCACAGCGGAUAGCUUCGACGGCGUCGACAUUGCGCUCUUUAGCGCCGGCGGUGGUAGACUAUAGCUCCGCAUUUGGGAUGGACGAGAAGGUGACGCUGGUUAUUCCCGAAGUGAAGCCCCAAACGAUGCAACACAUCAAAGUUGGAACGGGAAAAGGCGCUCUGAUUGCGAACCCUAAUUGCUCCACCAUUAUUUGCUUGAUGGACAUACUAAUUAAUAUCAAUUAUAACAAAUAAUGAACGUUUCUGGUCAUUUCUUGUACUUCGCGUUAUUUCAUAACAGUAGUUUUUUUAAAUAAAUUAAGAAAAAUAUUCAUUUUUAAAUUUAAUGCACUUUUAAAUAAUUUGACUAUUAUAAACAUAAUCACUUAUAAAAAUAAUUUUAGAGUAGUUGAUAUAAUUAAAAUAAAAUAUUUUAUUAUUAAAGUAAAAAUUAUAUAUAAAUAAAAAAUAGGUUUUAUUUUAAAAUAAUAUUCAAUUUUAUAAAAGUUUUUUCUUUUUGUCUUUUUUUUUUUAUAUUUCUAACCAUAUUUUUUCGUGAGGUUGAUAAUAGAAUCUCACUUUGGAUUUAUGGGAAUGAAUAAUGAAUUAGUUUUUAGUUUUCUAUUUAUCUAUAUAUAAAGGUGAUACGGUGACAAAUUCCAAAAUUUUAUUAUAAUGUUUGCUUUGUUGAUUGAAAUAGAUGUUAAUUGAUGAAAAAGAUUGAAAGUUUUAAACCCAAUACACCCCUCACGUCGAGGUUAGGUGGACUGAUAAGUUCAGCAAAAUCUCGUUAUGAUAGUUUUUAGAUGACUCUGAUACCACAAUAAAAAAUAAACUUUAAAUUUAACUCAACCUUACAAAACUAAUUUAUAAAGUGAGCUAUGUAUCCCUAGUCGAUGUAGAAUCUCUAACAAUGAUUUAAAUGAAUUGUUAUAUGCUUUAUGAAGUUUAACCUUUAUUUUUACUUGACAAAUUGGAUUUUAAUGAGGUAUAUAUGCUCUCAGCAUCAAAUCCGCUUAACGAAAUUUAUAUGUGUCAAGCGAAUUUGGACAUGUAGAGUUUGAUGUGCUCUUGGCCUCAAAUCCGCUCAAUGUUUUUUUUUCCUGUACUUAAGCAAACUUACAUCCAGAUUUUGGAGUACUUUCGAACUCAAAUUUGCUCAAAGAAAUUUUCUUAUGGUAAGCAAAUUUAAGCGGCUAUUGUUUGGAUGUUCUCUGCCUCAAAUUCGUUCAGUGAAAUUUUCCUGUGCUAAGGAGAUUUCUCUGGGCUUAAGCCCCAACUUCAUGGGCUCGACCCAUUUUGACGACAUUUGUCAUCUUUGCUUAGAUAUCUUUUGGUUUGUUUUCUAUAGGUCAUGAAAUUGAAUUAAAUCUUUUGAAAUUUAUCAUUUUGUAAAUUGUAAGUGAUUACAACUUUCUAAUGUUCAUGCAACAUGUGUUUAAAAUAAGUAAAUCUAACAAAUAAAUACUCGUUACAUAUUCAAUGGAAAGCUUUUUCUUUUAAUUCUUUGGUGUUUUAUUUUGAUGAUGUAUAUAUUUGAAAAUCAAUGUAUGAAUGGAUAAUGCUUUAUGAUAUAAUAAUAUUACAAUGUAAAUGUUAUUUAUAUACUAUCACAUGAUAAAUUAAAAUUUAAUAAGAUAGUUAAGGAUGUUAUAAUUAUUCUUUUAAUUUAUUUUAUUUCACUGUAUAUUUAGGUGUAUUACGUAGAAUGUAUAGUUAAAAAAAUAAUGUUAUUUUGAAAUUUAAAGAAUGACGUAUAGAAAUAAACAAGCUUUUGUUAAAAUUAUACUAUUUGAAAAGGAACACAGAACAAUAUUGACAAUUAUACUUUUACUUAUUACUUAUUUUAAUUUAUUAUAUUCAUGAGUAUUAUUUUUUUUAAACAUAGAUAUUGGAUAAAAAAUAUAAAUAACAUUUAUUUAUUUCAAAUUUAAAAAUCUUUAAAAUAAAAUUAAAUAAUAUUUUUAAUUAAGAUGUGUUUUUUAACAAUUUUUUUAAUUUAAAAAAUAAUUAAUUCGGAGGAUGAUUAAAGAAAUAUUAACAAAUUAUUUCUGCGUUUAUAAUAAACCUUCAAUAAUAUUUGUACUUUCUAGCAUAUAGAAUACUUAAUGGAUCCCUUUGUGAUUUUUCUUUUCUAAAGUGCAAUUGAUAUUUUAAAUGUUUUUCUAUUUAAUUUUCCUUUCUUAAUGACACAUUAAAGGGUUCAGUGCACGAUUAAUUAUUCUCACCUUAGAUUUCAUUCAUCUCAUUCCAUUUCCACACUCAAAUCAUUCUCACAUUUUUUUCUACCUAUUUCACAAAGUUUUAUGUAAAAUAUGGAAAUUAAACUAAAAGAACCCUACUUAUAUAUUAAUAUUCAACAACUUAAAAUAUUACUAUGCAAAUUAAUCUUUCUUAAUAAUGUUAUGUAAAAAUUAAAAUGUAGUUUAGUCAUUCAUACUUAGAUGGAUAAAGAUGGUUUUAGAAAAAAAAUGCAUUUUAUUUCAAAUCUAUUACUUAUAAAAUGAGUUAUAAAAUGAGGUUUGUGAUAUUUAUUCAAAAUUUAAAUUAUAUUAUGCAUUUAUGGUUUUAUGUUUUUAAAGAAAUCAGAAACUUAGAAAAGCUCCUAAAAACUACUGAAAUCCAUAAGAUGAUAAUUAAUAAACAUCCUCUCUUAAUAACAUAACAUAUAAGAUAGGAGUCUUUACACUUAUAUUCUUCAAACAAUUAUAAGCUGUCUUCAACUUUACUGUUAAACUACAAUUAUAAAGAAUUAACAAUCUCACACACCAACAACAUUUAUAAGCCAUCACUCACAUGAAACAAGGUGCCUCAAUGUGAAAAAACCAAGAUCAAUAAGAAAUGAGGUUCCACUUAACCAAGCUGAGAAUUUUCUGGUUUUCCAACUCCAUGCACAAACCUAAUACAAUGAUAUGAUAUUCAAUCAGCAUUAAUUGGCAUAAACAGGUACAUUGUUGUAAAACUGGGAUUAUAAGGUUCCAUAGGAUGGAGAAAAGUAAGAAGAGGAUUUACCAAUUACCCUUUCAAAUGGAGCUCCUCAGGAUUUCAUAAUGCCUUCACUGCAAAUGCAACCCAAAUAUGCUAAAAAAGUUAAUGAAACUAUAUAUGAAGAGUUUCAAGAAAAUGCAACUCUGGGACAACAGAGAAACCCAUCUCAUGCUGAACAGAAACAUCAAACUAUAUCUAACAAUAACUUAGAAAUCUUUGUCAACAAUUGAACGAACCCACUCCUAAAAUGCCAUUGAAAAUGUAAAUAAAACAAAAUAAAUUAAAAACGAGAAAUUCAUAAUAAAAAUUCAACGUGUUGAAACUUAUGAUAACUCAGUUUAGAUCCUGACCAAUGAAAGACUAAUUAGCAGAAGAGGAAGAGACUAGUUGACAGGGUAGCUUUCGGCCUUUCUCUUCCUAUCUUUCCUUGUUUCUCUUGAAGACUGUGCAACAUUGCUUCCACUGGAUUCUUCAAUGUCAACAUCACCACCAUAUUUAUCAUCUUUCUUUUUGGUAUAAAGGGGGCAUAUGCCGCAUUCUUUUAUUGUGAUGUCUGAUGCCAUCACUCUCACACCUGAUUUGUAACUAUACAGACUGAUCUCAAAAGUGAAGCUGCGAGCAUCACAGACCCUAAGGCUCUUGCGGCUCGCCGUUAGGGACUCCAUGUUAAAUUUCCACACGAAUGUGUGAUCUUCAUCAACACAUCUGUGUUCACCAUUCCAUUUGAAAUAGCUGUUUAACACAUCAUUAUUUAGAAUGAUCUGUGUGCCAUCAUCAUCAUCAGAUUCAAAUUUUAGACUGUAACCAAAAGAACCAUAUCUACAUUUAACAGCUUUCGUAUCUAACACUCCAAAAACCACACACAAAGCGAAACCAGUGAGCCUAUCAUCGCUGCAGAAACUUAAAUCUUCAUUUAUAGUCACUGAAUGUCCCUUCCCACGAGAAUGGAACCAACGAGGAACUGCAUUCCCUGGAAAACAGAAGAACACAGACCUAUAUGCAUCGUCGGUCAUCCUAACCCAUGCAUCCUCCUCAAUGUUAGCACGAGCACCUGAAUCCAGUUGCUGAGCAUUGGUGAAAUGAAAUUUGAAGACACCCUCUUUGGAGUUUGAGAAGUUUGGAACAAGAGAAUUUGACAUCACUCUUCUGAUGGAUGGGCAAUCCAAUGCCACGAGUUGUUUUAGAAAUGGUGGAAUCUGUGGGAUGGAUUCAAGUUUUUUGCAGUCGCUUAAAUCGAGCGAGUUCAAGCUUGAAAGAUGAGCAAUGCUCUCAGGAAGGUUCACGAUUCCGCUAUCACGCAGUGACAGUUCCAUUAAUGACGUCAAGCGACCGAUGUGGCUUGGGAUUUCUGUUAAUUUGGCACACCCCGAACAAUCAAGUUUAGAGAGAAGCUUCAGAUUAACAAUGGAGUUUGGAAGUGACUCGAGAUGAAUGCACUCUUGGAGUUCCAGGGAUCGAAGAUUAACGAAAUUGCCAAAUGAGGAAGGCAGUUCUUUAACAGCCGUAGAUGUUAAGUUAAUGUGAGCAAAAGUAUGAGCCGGCUCCGCGAUCUCUGGGAAGGUCCUCAGCCUUGAGCAACCACGCAAAUCAAGGUUCCUCAACUUCAAAUUGAAAAUGGUGCUUGGAAAAGUUUGAAGUGAAUUACAGUGGGUAAGGUCUAACUUGCAUAGUCUGGUGAGGGUUCCAAUGGAAGAUGGAAUAAUCUCAAGAUUCAAGCAACUGCGCAAACUCAGUCCUUGAAGCCCUACCAAACGGCACAAGGAUGAAGGUAGUGCCUGUAUGGCUGUGCCGUCUAAGAUGAGCACCACUAGAUCUUCCAACGUGUCCUGAAUCUCGGGUAAAUUUUCCAAUUUUGAGCAACCACUGAGAGAAAGUUUCUUUAUGAAUUUCAUAUCAGAAAGGUGAAAUGGAAAGAUUGUAAGGGAAGAACAGUGAGAGAGAUCUAAGUAACAGAGCUUCUUGCGAUUAAAGUUGAAGUGACAGAGCUUCAUGAGUUUUGUGAACACUUUAAAACAUAUAGUAUCAUUAGCCACUUCUUCUUCCUUAUAUCUGUCAAAAGUAAUUGAGAAAAUUUCACUGGAAGUUGGGAAAAAAGGACCACGGUGUCGACGUUUACCACGCCGUCCUGAGAAAUUCGUCAUAUCCGGUUCCUGACGAGGGAAUAUUGAGAAAGUUUGAAGUUGACGCUCCAGUAUCACAUGAGGGAAUCUGGGUUUACUGAUCGAAAACAUAUUAAGCUUCGGACAACGGGAAAGAGUAAUCCAUCCUGGUGAUGUGGAUAAAAUGUUGCUGGGAAUAUUUACACUAUUCAGAUCAUUACAAUCAUCUAAACAUAAACAACUGAGCUUGUUGAGGAAUAUCCAAGAGUGAACUUCAAUCAACUUUUCACAACUUUUCAGAAUUAUUUCUUCAAUAUUUGGUGACAUAGAAAGGUCUGGUAUUCUAGUAAGUUUCCGAGAAUAACUCAGGUCGAGCCUUUUCAAGUUGGGUAAAUUCUGCCACAAAUAGGAAAUGAAUGAGGUAACAAAUAAAAACUACUUUAUCUAUUUUUCUUCGGUAAAAUAUUAGCUACAUCAUCUAAUCUAUUCACUUUAUAUUUUACAUUACUUCAAAACCACUGUUAAAAAAAAUCACACUGUCAACUAACAAAACUGUGGCUAUAAAUUUAAUAGUUAUUAUAAAAAACCACAAAAUUUAACGUGUUUUUGUUCCCUACCUCAAAUUACAUCCUAAUAAUUUGAACCUAAACUUAUUAUGUAUUUAAAAACUGAUGAUAGUAAUUUAUAAUCGAUGACAGUGUGGAAAUACUUUAUAUCAUGCAUGUAUCAACUGACAAAAUAAAAUGGUGUUGUCUGAUGAUAGUAAUUUAUAAUCGAUGACCAUCUUUCCAUAAUUUAUUUUAUUAAAUACAUAAUUUGUUGUAUAUUAUAUUGAAGUUUAUGUUAUAAUAAUAAAAAAAUACUUAAUUAGGUUUUGAGUAUCCAGUAAGACAUUUUUAAUUAAUUUUUUUAUUAAAUUUUUUAAUUAUUUAAGUACUCAAAUUUUUUAUAUUUCCAAUAGAAUAUAUGUCAUUUUUAAUUUUUGAGUUAAUUGGGUGAUACAGAAAUUAUCUUGUCACAUGAUCUUACUUACUUGUCUUUAUGUAUUAAGGAAUAUGAAGUUUUAUGAUUGGCCAUUAGACUAUAUACCUAAAAAGAGGAUGCAAACUCUUCUACAUGCUACUAAAUUUAUAACUAUCUUUAAUUAGAAACAUGCUGAGUAUGAUUCUUAUGAUAUAUGUAUAACUGUGUGGUUCAAAUAAAAGAAAUUUCAAAUCGAAUAAUGUGGAGAAGCACAAAGGAAUUGCAAAUGAAAACCAGUAGAUGUAUAAUACAGAAAACAUGCUUGUAUAACUUAUUUUUGUCUUUGAAAGUUUAGAACACAAAGAAACAUAGAUAGCUUGAAAAACCUGAUCUCCUUCCCAGAGUUGUUCAAGAUGGCAGUAUGGCAUUUCGAGGGUCACUAGAUUUUGCGGGCAAAAGUUUGGAGGCAAAGAUCUUUGAGGGAAAUGUUUCCAAUAAAGAAUCUUUAGAGUGUCUGGCAGACCUACAAUAGAUGAUUCAAGAGACACAUUUGACGUGUAUUUUGGCGUGUUGAGCAUAAGCAUCCUAAGAUUGUCCAUCUUUUCGAAACUUUGUGCAUGUACUACAACUUCAUUUACUUUGCUCGUAUCUAGUGAUAUACACUGUAUUGCAUCUAACCCCUGAAAGUAAAUCAAUGUAAUUAGAAAAAAAAAGCAUGAAAUGUUGCUGUAUGGUUAUGGGCAGAUUGAUGAGAUAUGGUAACCUUCGGAUACUGAUCAUGAAGUGACAUAAAGGAGAAGGAAGCGUUACUGAAGGAGAGUAAUGGAAAUUUAUGAGAAAUUAAGCCGUUGGUUACAGAGACUAGGUAGGGACCGAGUCAUCUAUACCAGGGACCGAGUCAUCUAUAAGAGGAGGCAGAGACGAAGAGUAGGGGUAGGAAAAAAAGAUAUGGUUUUUAUAUUAUCUUUGAUGCUCUAGCUAAGGAUCAUCUGUCCUAAAACAGUUGCAUUUCUGGAUGUUUAAUGACAGCUCAAUAGUUUGCAGUUUUUUCACAAAGUAACAACAGAAUAUACCUUGUUUUUUCUUAAAACAUCACAAAUUUCCUCAGCAUUAAACAGUCGGCUGCGUUUUCCAGGAUGCCGACGACACUCUUUACGAACAAUUUCUUGACCCAUUUCUUGUAUUAGAUCGUGCAUCAUAAUAAUACCAUUAAAGACAGAUAUUAGGCACCUAUCUUUGAGAACAUCCAUUACAAUCUUAGUAGAGAAACCAUUGCAGUCAUCAAGUAUUUCUGCCAGCACAAUCUCCUGGUAUCCUCUAUAAAAGCAAGCAAUGUCAAGAAAUAUAUUCUUCUCCACCUCCUCGAGCCCAUCAUAACUUAAUUUUAAUACAUUGAAAAUACCAUGAUGUUGGCCCUUUUUCAACUUUUGCAACUGACUUUCCCAUGCUUCUUUUGUUCUGUCACAAAGCAAUGAGCCCAAAAUCUGGAGAGCUAACGGAAUCCCUUUUGCAUAACUCAACACCUUUCCUGACAGUUCCUUGUAAGCAAUUUCUUCUGAAGAUUUUUGUUUAAAAGCAUGUAAACUAAAAAGUCUUAGAGAAUCAUCAGAAUUCAACUCCUUAACUUCGUAGAUAUCAUCAGCUCUAGCAUUCUUAAGCACUUGUCUGUCUCUACUGGUCAUAAUGAUUCUACUGCCCUGCCUAAAACUAUCACUCCAUCCUAUUAAUUUUUGAAGUUGAGCUGAAUCGGUAACAUCAUCAAGAAUGAGGAGAGCCUUUGUCCGUUUGAGCCUUUCUUUGUAAUAUGGUAAAGAAGAAGAUUUCUCUUCCUUUAGAAGCUCAGACAGAUAUUUUGUUCUGAUACUAUCUAUUCCAUCUCUUUGUAUUUUUUCUUGAACGUCUAAAACAAGGCUGCUGGAAUCAAACUGCAAUGCCAAUUUCUGAUAUAUUUGAUCACAAAUUGUACUUUUUCCUAUUCCUCCCAUGCCCCAAAUUCCUAUGAUCCGAACAUCCGGUGACUCAGGAUGCAACAAGGACUGAAUUCCUUCAAUAUGUUUUUGAAUGCCGAUGAUUCCUUGAUCAUAACUGGUGGAAUAAAGAUUCAAUUUUCCCAAAAUAUCUUCCACAAUUUUUUCAACAAGUUUGUGGUCAUUCCUGGCAGAUGAUUUAGAAAAUAAAGUAUAAGAAUUCAAGCACAAAAGCUAAACUAAACUAAAGAAAAAUUCAGAGUCAAGAGGAGUGAACAUCAUUGAAUAGAUUCACAUAUCGAUUCUAGUUUCGAGUUCUGGAUAAAAUAAAUAAAUUAAAAAGUUGAAGGUAAGUUUAGGACGUUAUCUUCCUAUAUUAGUUUGGUUGGUUUAGUAAUUGCAAAUCAAGAUCGCAGAAAUUCUACAGUAACCGUAUGUGACUUCUGAUAAUAGGGAGCAGAUUUGUAGGUACAAAGUUAAGCUAUAACAUGUGAUAUGGUUCAGAUCCAUGACCGACUAAGAGAAAUGAAAAAAGAAACACUUGAUUUAUGGUGAGAUGAACACAAUUUUAGUAAAUGAAAAGAGAUCCUGAUUAUCUAAUAAAUAUAAUGACCUGGUGACUUUUGAAUCCCAGCCUGCAAGUUCAGCAGCUUCGGUUAGAGCAUCCUUCCAUCCUUGCACUCUGUCCAUGUCGUGCUUAAGCCGCUGUUCAUGCUCAUCAAAUGCUUCUUUGAAUCUUUGUUCCUGCUUCCUAAUAGUUGAUGGAUCCACCUUGUAGAAAACAGGUAUCACAUCCCUUCCAUAUCUCUUCUUGCAUUCAAGUAUCUUAGUGAGUUCAUUCAAGCACCAAGUGGAAGAUGCAUAGUUUUGGGAGAAAACGAUGACAUAAAUCUUUGAUUCUUCUAUUGCAGAGAGUAGUGCAGGUGAAAUUUCUUCGCCCCGGGGUAGUCUCUCGUCAAUAUAUGCUUGAAUGUUCUUCCUUUGCAGUGCUGCAUGAAGGUGACGAAUGAAGUUGUCACGUGUGUCUUCCCCUCUGAAGCUGAGAAACACAUCAUGCUUUGUUAGAGAAGCAGACACGGGGAAUGAUGAAGGACUUCCUGACAUUGGAAUCAAUUUUCUCUCUUUUCUCUUGCAACUCUCAGUGCCUUUGUUUGUACACAAAUCAACUCUUGGAAAAGUCUUUGAAUUUUCUCAAAAGUAUCUUUCACAGAUCACGCACGCGUGGAAACAUAGCUGUGUUAAAAUCCUUAUUUAAGUUUUAAUUGGGCCUUGUAGUGGGCUUUGUAAUGUGCUUUUCUUUUCUCCUACAUUGCUUUAUAUAUACACCUCAGCGUUUGCUUUCUACAUUUCAUUUUACAAAAUACAUUCUCUCAUUUUCUACCUUUUAUAUUGUCUGAUUCCGUUCUCUCUUUAUUUUUUUUCAAAUCUCUUUUGCUUACAAUUUUUUUUUCUUUUUUAAGAAAUGUACUUUUUCAAGUUUAAUUUAAUUUUAUAAAACAGUCAUCUUUCUACAGUAUUAUCAUCUCUUACGUGAGAUUAUUAUAUAUUAUUUGGUGAUCUAAGUAAACUUUUAAUCCAAUAAACUUUAAAAAUAAUUCUAAUACUAUAUUAAAAAAUGAAAUUUAAAUCUAAUUCUAUUUUAUAAAAUAUAUUUAUUCAAUGCUAAAAUAUCUCUAAUUGAGUAGGGAUGUUCAAAAUACUUAUUGGUUCUUGAUUUUCACUUUCACUUUUAAGGUUUUUCUUCGCAGACACGUAGUAAACAGAAAUACAAAAAUAUGAGUCAAUGGAAGAGUCUAACGAUUCGCAGAAUAUUAUGGUGUCUAGCUUUAUACCGCAUUAAUGCGAGGAGUUUCUUUAAUAUUUUUACUCAAUUUAUUUAUUUUUAAUUCUUUUUUUUUUCACACCUUUUACAAAUAAAGAAUCGUAUUUCUUUAAUAUAUUUUAGAAAAUAACCACUAAACCUUAUUAUAAAAUAUAUUUAUGAAAUGCACGUGUAAGAAUAACAGGAAAAAUAUUACUACGAAAAACAAUAUAUUAAUAUUAAUAUGUUUCUUAAUAAAUUUCAUACCCACUGUCUAUUUAUAAAUUAAUAUAAUAUAAAUAUCUUUAAUGAUGUUUUUGUGGGUAGCUUAUUUCUCUAACGCAGAAUAUUAUGGUGUCUACUUUUAUAAAACAUUACAUUUUGAUUUUAAUAUUUAUUAAAUAUUUUUUAUUUGGGAUGAAGUAACGAUGAUGAAUCGAAUGUGUUUUGAAGUCUGACAUAACUUUUAGAGAUGUUAUGAGAACGGUUAAUGACGGAAAUUAUCAAAAACCUUUUGGGGGAAGGUUGUGGUUUUGGGAGGUGAUUUCAGGUAAAUAUUGUUAGUGGUAAAAAAAGGAUUAAGAUAUGAUGUUGUGAAGUCAACAAUCAACUUUUCUCAUUUGUGGUUAAAUUGUCGAGUCUUAAAACUUUCUCAAGGAAAUCCAACACGAUCUAUUGAUUGAGCCCACAAAAACACCUUUGUUAUCAUUGGUGAAUUUUGUUUAUCCUAAUUUAUUGACUGAUAUGUUAUGUCCUGAGUACUUUGAGUAUGGAGCAAUACUUUGUCCGACAACUGAAUCAGUAGAGCAAGUGAAUGAUUUUAUUUUAUCUCUGUUAAGUGGUAAAUAAAUAAAUUAUCUUAGUUCGGAUACACCUUGCCAAUUAGAUUAAGAUCAAGAAUUUAAAGUGAAUGGUUCACUUCUGAGUUCUUAAAUGAGAUAAAAUGUUCAGAGAUACUAAAUCAUCGCCUUCAUUUGAAAAUUGGCGUGCCUAUUAUGCUUUUGAGAAAUAUUGAUCAAACCAACGGUCUUUGUAAUGGAACAAGGUUGCAAGUUAUUGAUUUGAAGAAAAUGUUAUUUGUGCAAUAGUUCUAACAGGAACAAAUAUUGGUGAUAAAAUCUUUAUUUCAAUAAUGAAUUUGAUCCCUUUAGAUGUAGGUAUGCCAUUCAAAUUCUAGAGAAGACAAUUUCCAAUAACUUUAUGUUUUGCAAUGACAAUUAAGAAAAGUCAAAGUCAAUUAUUGACCAAAGUUGGUUUAUAUUUUUCACGUCCAAUUUUCACACAUUGAUAGUUGGAUGUAGCUAUUUAUAGAGUUAGAAAGAAAAAAAUUUAAAAAUUCUAACUCUUGAUGAAGAUGGGAAUGCAACAAACAAGAAAAAGAAAAUGUUUACACUGAAACUUUUGACAAUAUUUAAAAACAAUAGAAUUAUAUGAUAAACUUGGAAUAAUGGCUAAUUCUCCCUGCACCCAAUAUUUUUGAACAUGCAACUUUUAAAUUUGCUCCCUUGUAAUUAUAUUUUCUUAUGUGUGAUGUAGUAACAGUUGCCUUAUUUAAAAUGUUACUAAAUAACAUAUCAUUUAUAUCUGUUAUUUUUAUUCUGUUCUGAUUUUAUAUAUAUGUUAACGAAGUUGAGAAUUUUCUGAUUUUACAGGUCCAUGCACAAACCUAAUAUAAUGAUAUGAUAUUCAAUAUCAAGAGGUACUUGUCGUAAAACGGGGAAUAUGAGAGACUCCAUAGAAUGAAGAAAAAGUAUAAAGAGGAUUUACAAAUUACCCUUUCAAAUGCAGCUCCUCAGAAUUUCUUAAUGCCUUCACUGCAAAUGCAACCCAAAUAAGCUAAAGAAGUUAAUCAAACUAUACAUUAAGAGUUUCAAGAAAAUGAAACUCUGGAACAACAGAGCAACCCAUCUCAUGCUCAAUAGAAACAUCAAACUAUAUCUAACAAUAACUUAGAAAUCUUUGUCAACAAUUGAACGAACCCACUCCUAAAAUGCCAUUGAAAAUGUAAAUAAAUAAAUAAAAAUUAAAAAUGAGAAUUCAUAAUAAAAUUUCAUCGUGUUGAAACUUGUAAUUUAGAAGUAUUACGAUAAGCCAGUUUUGAUCCUCGCGAAUGAAAGACUAAUUAGCAGAAAGACUGUGCAAAAUUCCUUCCACUGGAUUCUUCGAUGUCAACUGAUUUGGUAUAAAGAGGACAUAUGCCGCAUUCUUUUAUUGUGAUAACUGAUUUCAACUCUCUCACAAGUAAUUUGCGAUUUGACCGAUUUGGCCGCAGAAAGGGAUCAUCAUAAUCAUGCGAACUGAUCUCAAAAGUGAAGCUGCGAGCAUCACACAGCCUAAGGCUCAUGCCGCUUGCCCUUAGGGACUCCAAGUUAAAUUUCCACACCAAUGUGUGAUCUUUAUCAACACCUCUCUCUUCAUCAUCCCAUCUGAAAUAGUUGUUUAACACAUCAUUAUUUGGAAUUAUCCGUGUGCCAUGAUCAUCAGAUUCAAAUUUUAGGCUGUAACCAAAGGAACCAUAUCUACCUUUAACAACUUUCGUAUCUAACACUUCAAAAACCACACACAAAGCGAAACCACUGAGCCUAUCAUCGCUUAAAAAACUUAAAUCUUCAUUUAUAGUCACUGAAUGUCCCUUCCCACGAAAAUGGAACCAACCAGGAACUGCACUCCCUGGAAAACAGAAGAACACACACCUAUAUCUAUCGUCGGUCAUCCUAAGCCUUGCAUCCUCCUCAAUGUUAGCACGACCACCUGAAUCCAGUUGUUGAGCAUUGGUCAAAAGAAAUUUGAAGAAACCCUCUUUGGAAUUUGACAAGUUUGGAACAAGAGAAUUGGACAUCACUCUUCUAAUGGAUGGGCAAUCCAAUGCCACUAGUUUUUUUAGAAAUGGUGGAAUCUCUGGGAUGCAUUCAAGCUUUUUGCAGUCGCUUAAAUCAAGCGAUUUCAAGCUUGAAAGAUGAGCAACGCUCUCAGGAAGGUUCACAAUUCCGCUAUCACACAGUGACAGUUCCAUUAAUGACGUCAAGCGACCGAUAUCUCUAGGGAUUUCUGUUAAUCUGGCACACCCCGAACAAUCAAGUUUAGAGAGAAGCUUGAGAUUAACAAUGGAGUUUGGAAGUGACUCCAGAUCAGUGCAUUUGCGGAGCUCCAGGGAUCGAAGAUUAACCAAAUUGGCAAAUGAGGAAGGCAGUUCUUUAACAGCCGUACAUAUCAAGUUAAUGUGAUCAAAAGUAGGAGCCGGCUCUGUGAUCUCUGGGAAGGUCCUCAGACUUGAGCAACCACACAAAUCAAGGUUCCUCAACUUCAAAUUGAAAAUGGUGCUUGGAAAAGUUUGUAGUGAACUACAGUGGGUAAGGUCUAACUUGCAUAGUCUGGUGAGGCUUCCAAUGGAAGAUGGAAUAAUCUCAAGAUUGAAGCAACUGCACAAACUCAGUUGUUGAAGCCCUACCAAACGGCACAAGGAUGAAGGUAGUGCCUGUAUGGCUGUGUCGUCUAAGAUGAGCACCACUAGAUCUUCCAACGUGUCCUGAAUCUGGGGUAAAUUUUCCAAUUUUGAGCAACCACGGAGUGAAAGUUGCUUUAGGAACUUCAUAUCAGAAAGGUCAAAUGGAAAGAUUGUAAGGGAAGAACAGUGAGAGAGAUCUAAGUGACAGAGCCUCUUGAGAUUUUGAAAGUUUGAGGGUACACCUUCGAGUAUUGUCGACACUUCACAUUGUGAGUAUAUAGUAUUAUUACCCACUUCUUCUUCGUUAUAUCUGUCAAAACUAAUUGAGGAAAUUUCACUGGAAGUUGGGAAAAUACCUUUAGCAUUAUGGAAUUUAACAGUCCCUCCCAAAAGUAAACUUGAGAAAGUUGGACGUUGACCCUCCAGUUUCACAUGAAGGUAUCUGGGUUGACUGGUUGAAAACAUUUCAAGCUCCUCACAGUGAGAAAGAAUGAUCAAUCCUGGAGAUGUGGAUAAAAUCUUGUUGGGAAUAUUUACACUUUUGAGAUGAUAACAAUGAUCUAAACAUAAACAACUGAGCUUGCUGAGGAAUAUCGAAGAGUGAACUUUAAUCAACUUUUGACAAUAACUCAGAAUUAGUUCUUCAAUAUUCGGUGACAGAGAAAGGUCUGGUAUUCUAGUAAGUUUCAGAGAAUGACUCAGGUUGAGCCUUUUCAAGUUGGGUAAAUUCUGCCACAAAAAGUAAAUGAAUCAGGUAACAAUGAAAAACUAAAAUAAAGUUUUAUGCAAUUUUAUCUAUUUUUCUUCGGUAAACUAUGAGCUACAUCAUCUAUCGAGUUUAUAUUUUACAUAAAACCACUGUUAAAAAAAUCACACUGUUAACUAACAAAAUUAUGGUCACUAUAAAUUUUAUAGUUAUUAUAAAAAUUCACAAAAUUUAACGUGUUUUUGUUCUCUACCUAAAAUUACAUCCUAAUAAUUUGAACCUAAGCUUAUUAUGUAUUGAAAAACUUACUAUAGUAAUUUAUAAUCCAUGACAAUGUCGAAAUACUUUAUACUAUGCAUGUUAAAAUUUGAUAAAAUGUCGAAAUACUGACAAAAUAAAAAUGGUGUUUUCCGAGAGUUAAAAUUAAACUUUAGUUAAAAUAAGUCCAUCUUUACAUAUUUUAUAAUUUGUUGUAUAUUAUAUUGAAGUUGAUGUUAUAAUAAAAAAAUGACUUAAUUAAUCGAAAAAUGUGGAGAAAACACAAAGAAAUUGCAAAUGCUUGUAUAAUUUAUUUUUAUCUUUGAAAGUUUAAAAGACAAAGGAACAUAGAUAACUUGAAAAACCUGAUCUCCUUCCCAGAGUUGUUCAAGACGGCAGCCUGGCAUUUCGAGGAUCACUAGAUUUUGUGGGCAAAAGUUUGGAGGCCAAAAUCUUUGCGGGAAAUCUCUCCAAUAAAGAAACUUUAGAGUGUCUGGCAGACCUACGAGAGAUGAUUCAAGAGACACAUUUGAUAUGUAUUCAGUUGAGUAGAGUAAAAACGUCCAAAGAUCAUCCAACUCUUUACGAGACACAUCUGAUAUGUAUUUAGUUUUAUUUUGCUCGUAUCUAGUAAUAUACACUGUAUUGCAUCUGACCCCUGAAAGUAAAUCAAUGUAAUUAGAAGAAAAAAACAUGAAAUGUUGCAUUGCAGGAUGUUUGAUGACAGCUCAGUGGUUUGCAAUUUUUCACAAAGUAAAUUAAUGACAGGUCAGUAGUUAUAUACCUUAUUCUUUCUUAAAACCUCACAAAUUUCCUCAGCAUUAAACAAUCGGCUGCGUUUUCCAGGAUGCUGAGGACACUCUUUACGAACAAUUUCUUUACCCAUUUCUUCUAUUAGAUCGUGCAUCACAAUUCUACCAUCAAUGACAGAUAUUAGGCCCCUAUCUUUCAGAAUAUCCAUUCCAAUCUUAGAAGAGAAACCAAAGUCAUCAAGUCUUUCUGCUACCUCAAUCUCCUCGUGACCUCUAUAAAAGCAAGCUAUGUCAAGAAAUAUAUUCUUCUCCUCCUCCUCCAGCCCAUCAUAACUUAAUUUUAAUACAUUGAAAAUACCAAGAUGUUGGCCCUUUUUCAACUUUUGCAACUCACUCUCCCAUGCUUCUCUUGUUCUGCCAUAAAGCAAUGACCCCAAAAUCUGGAGAGCUAACGGAAUCCCUUUUGCAUAUCUCAACACCUUUUCUGACAGGUCCAUGUAAGAUUUUUCUGCUGAAGAUUUUUGUUUAAAAGCAUGUAAACUAAAAAGUUUAUGAGAAUCAUCAAAAUUCAACUCCUUAACCUCGUAGAUAUCAUCAGCUCCAGCAUUUCUAAGCACUUGUCUGUCUCUACUGGUCAUAAUGAUUCUACUGCCCUGCCCAAAACUACCACUCCCUCCUAUUAAUUUUUUAAGUAUAGCUGAAUCGGUAACAUCAUCAAGAAUGAGGAUAGCCUUUGUCCGUUUGAGCCUUUCAUUGUAAUAUGAUAAAUCAGGGGAUUUCUUUAUCUCUUCCUUUAGAAGCACAGACAGAUAUUUUCUUCUGAUACUGUCUAUUCCAUCUCUUUGUAUUUUUUCUUGAACGUCUAAAACAAGGCUGCUGGAAUCAAACUGCACUGCCAAUUUCUGAUAUAUUUGAUUACAAAUUGUAGUUUUUCCUAUUCCUCCCAUGCCACAAAUUCCUAUGAUCCGAACAUCCGUUGACUCAAGAUGCAACAAGGACUGAAUUCCUUCAAUAUUUUUUUCAAUGCCGAUGAUUCCUUGAUCAUAACUGGUGGAAUAACGAUUCAAUUUUCUCAAAAUAUCUUCCACAAUUUCUUCAACAAGUGCGUGUUCUGGCCUGGCAGAUGAUUUAGAAAAUAAAGUAUAAGUAUUCAAGCACAAAAGCUAAAGUAAACUAAAGAAAAAUUUUACAGUAACCGUUUGUGACUUCUGAUACUAGGGAGCAGACUUGUAGGUACAAAGUUAAACUAUAAGAUCAGAUAUGGUUCAGAUCCAUGACCGACUAAGAGAAAUGAAAAAAGAAACACUUGAUUUAUGGUGAGAUGAACACAAUUUUAGUAAAUGAAAAGAGAUCCUGAUUAUCUAACAAAUAUAAUGACCUGGUGACUUUUGAAUCCCAGCCUGCAAGUUUAGCAGCUUCAGUUAGAGCAUCCUUCCAUCCUUGCACUUUAUCGUGCUUAAGGUGCUGCUCAUGCUUUUCGAAUGCUUCAUUGUAUCUUUGUUCCUGCUUCCUAAUAGUUGAUGGAUCCACCUUGUAGAAAACAGGUAUGACAUCCCUUCCAAAUCUCUUCUUGCAUUCAAGUAUCUUAGUGAGUUCAUUCAAGCACCAAGUGGAAGAUGCAUAGUCUUGGGAGAAAACGAUGACAUAAAUCUUUGAUUCUUCUAUUGCAGAGAGGAGAGCAGGUGAAAUUUCUUCGCCCCUGUUUAAUCUGUAAUCAAUAUACGCUUCAAUGUUCUUCCUCUGCAGCGCUGCAUAAAGGUGACUAAUGAAGUUGUCACGUGUGUCUUCCCCUCUGAAGCUGAGAAACACAUCAUGCUUUGUUAGAGAAGUAGACACGGGGAAUGAUGAAGAACUUCCUGACAUUGGAAUCAAUUUUCUCUCCUUUCUCUGCAAAUCUCAGAUUCCUUUGUUUGUACCAUUUCUACCUGAAGAAGUGUUUAAAUUUUCUCAAAAUACCUUGCACAGCGUGUUCUGGUCAGACAUAAAGAAAAAGACAAAUAUUAAGUUAAUAGAAUAGUCAACAAUUUAAAAAAUAAGUAUGAAAUAUAGAUAUAUAUCAUUAUCACGUGUGGAAGCUACGUCGUCUUGUAUUGGAUUUUCUAAUCUGCCUUUUAUCUUGUCUCAUUCUUCUUUAUCUUUUUUCUCUCAUCUCUCUUGCUUACGAUUUCUUUGCCUUUAUUCAGAAAUUUUAUUUAUAAUAAACCUUCAAUAAUAUUUGUACUUUCUAGCAUAUAGAAUACUUAAUGGAUCCUUUUCUGAUUUUUCUUUUCUAAAGUGCAAUUGAUAUUUUAAAUGUUUUUCUAUUUAAUUUUCCUUUCUUAAUGACACAUAAAAUGGUUCAGUGCACAAUUAAUUACUCUCACCUUAGAUUUCAUUCAUCUCAUUCCAUUUCCACACUCAAAUCAUUCUCACAUUUGUUUCUACCUGUUUCACAAAGUUUUAGUUAAAAUAUGGAAAUUAAUGUUCAAGAACCCUACUUAAUAUUAAUAUUCAACAAUUUAAAAUAUUAAAAUGCAAAUUAAUCUUUCUUAAUAAUGUCAUUUUUAUGUAAAAAAUAAAAUGUAGUUUAGUCAUUUAUACUUAGAUGGAUAAAGAUGGUUUUAGAAAAAAAAAUGCAUUUUAUUUCAAAGGUUAUCUAAGCUCUGAACUCAUUUAUGAAUUAAUAAUAAUAAAUAAUAUGUAAUUGUAUUCCAAUACCAUAUAAUUUUUUUUAUUGGGUGCGUUUCUGAUGAAUUAAUUAAUGCACUCUAGGGACAAUGAUCGCUCUAGUAUUUGAUUUUUUUAUUUAUUUUAAUGUUGAAAUUAUAGCUAUUUAGUACAGAUACUAUUGACACCGACACAGAUACGACACAGACACAGAGAUACUUAAAAUCUCUAAAAUGUAAGAUACAGAGACAUUAAUCUAUAUAUUAUAUAAUUAUGAAUUAUAUAAAUUAACAAUAAAGACUUAUGUGCACAAGUAUUUUGGAGAUUAUUUUUUAAGCAGAAAUAUGUUUUUCAUGACUGUUUCACAAAGAUUUGUUUCUUAUUUUUAUAAUCAUAAUAACAAUUUAUACCAUAAAGUUUGAAUUUUAGAAAAUUAAUGUAUUUUUUCUUUUUAAAAUUCCGUUAGAAUCGUACUAAAAUUGUAAAAAAUCUAACAAAUACAUUUUGAAUUGGACAUUUCACAAAUACAUGUCCUACCAGUAUCAUACGAAUGUAAACAAAAUUCUUUCUUCAUAUGCCGCAUUCUUUUACUGUGAUAACUCAUUUCAACUCUCUCACAACUGAUUCGUAAUCUGUGGGAUGCAUUAAAGCCUUUUGCAGUUAAAUCAAUAGUAUAUGAUGAUGUGAAUGUUAUUUAUAUACUAAAUAUAAUCACAUAGUAACUUCAAAUUUGAUAAGGUACAACAUGUUACCAUAUCUCUUUUAAUUUCUUUUAUUUCAUUAUAUAUUUAGGUGUAUUUAAUUUCUUUUUAUUUCAUUGUGUAUUUAGGUGUAUUACGUAAAAUAUAUAAUUAAAAAGAAAGAAGAAUAAUGUUAUUUUUAAAUUUAAAGAAUGACAUAUAGAAAUAAACAAGCUAUUUUGAAAUUUUUAGAUUUUACAAAACAUUACAUUUUGAUUUUAAUAUUUAUAAAAUAUUUUUUAAUUUCAUAUUUAAAACACAACACUUAGUUGAGUGUGUUCCUUAGUUACUUACCAAAUAACAACAUACAUCUUAUCGGGUCUUUUUGCGACCCGACCCAAACUCAUCUCGAUCCUAGUAGGGUUCGCAUCAUCUUCAAUUGAGGAGUAGAUUUGUCAGGAGGAAAAUAAAUUGAUUUAUAAGAACAUGUGAAGUUGUUUAGAUUGAGGAAUAAUAGAUGGAUUUUGAUUAUGAUUUAUGGUAAGUUUAAAAAAAAUAGAUUUGUUUCUUUUAACAUUUUUUGUAUUAUAAUUAUUUGCUGGCUGAAUUGUUUUGAGUUAACAUGUUUUCUUGGGGUAUGAUAUUGUGAGGUUUUAUUACAUGCAGGUACGUGAAUAUUUUUUUUAUUCUAGUUGUAUAAAUCAGGAAAAAAUGUUUUUCACAAUAUAAUUAUAAUAACCGUUUAACAACCUAAAUAAUAAUAAAAUAUUAACUCAUAUUAUUUAAUUAAAUUAUUAAAUAAAAAGUAGUAAAACUGAUUGUAGGAUGGGAAUAUGAUUAUUUUUAACUGCUAGCUCCUCAUUAUUCUUUUAUAAUAAAAAACACACUAGUAGGUGUUGAAAAUCGUAAUAUAACAAACAAGUUUUGACACACGUAGGUUUGGCAAUUGUUUUAAUAGCUGAAAAUAGUAAAACAAUUUUUAAUUACCACAAACUGCAUCUUAAAUCAUAAAAAAUAGCAUUUUUUAGUUCAUAUAUAAUAACAUUUCCAUAAAUAAAUCUCCCGCCGCCAUUGAUAUUAAUCAUUAAUAAUUUUAGAUAAUAUUUUUUACUAUAAAACAUUUAAUUGAGAUUGAAUUUUUAAUUCACACUUUUUGGUCAAAGAAUAAUAUAUUUCAUUUUUUUAUUUAUUAAAUAUUUUGUAUAAUGCUGAGAAAAAAAAAUCUCACACACACACACACAUAUAUAUAUAUAUGAUCCCUAUGUCCUACAAGUACAAUAUAACAUCGUUAGUAUAAUGAAUAAAAAUAAUGAGUAUUCAAAGUCGUGUAUUUACGUAAAAGAAUAACAUGAUUUUUAAAAGAACUCACAUUAUCAGUUUAAAUUUUGACGAUAAAAUACAUUAAUUAUAUAUAUUUAUUCAAAAUUUCAAUUAUAUUAUGCAUUAAUGGUUUUAUGCUUUUAGAGGAAUCAGAGAAACUUAGAAAAGCUUAAUGAAACCCUAUGAAUAAAGGAGAUGUAAAAGAAAGAGAAAAAGGAAGUGAGAAAAGAUGAUAAUUAAUAAACACCCACUCUUCAUAACAUAGAGUCUUUAAACCUAUAUUCCCUCAAACAGCAUUUAUAAGUUAUUAUCACCCACAUGGAAUAAGGUGCCUCAAUGUGAACAAACCAAGAUCAGUAAGAAAUAUGAGGUUCAAAUAACGAAGCUGAGAAUUUUCUGGUUUUACAGCUCCAUGCACAAACCUAAUACAAUGAUAUGAUAUUCCAUAGGAUGGAGAAAAGUAUGAUAUGAAGAGGAUUUACCAAUUACCCUUUCGAAUGCAGCUCCUCAGGAUUCCAUCAUGCCUUCACUGCACAUGCAACCCAAAUAUGCUAAAGAAGUUAAUCAAACCCAAAUAUAAAGAAUUUCUAGAGAAUGCAACUCUGGGACAACAGAGUACCCCAUCUCAAGCUGAACAGAAACAUUAAACUAUAUCUAACAAUAACUUAGAAAUCUUUGUCAACAAUGAACGAAUCCAACCGUAAAAUGCCAUUGAAAAUGUAAAUAAAACAAAAUAAAUUAGAUAUGAGAAAUUCAUGAUAAAAUUUCAACACUUGUAAUGUAGAAGCAUUACGAUAAGCCAGUUUUGAUCCUCACCAAUGAAAGUCUAAUUAGCAGAAGAGGAAGAGACUAGUUGACUGGGUAGCUUUCUGCAAUGCCUAUUUUAAGGUUACGCUUCCGGCAAAAAUAUAAUAGAAGACUGCUCUCAUGUCAAAGUUUCUCAUACAUAGAACAACCCGCAAAAGAGAUUAAACAUUCCAAAAGAUGUCUCAACAGAAAUGAAAUGAGAUCCUAACAACUUGUUGGGAAAGUACUAUUUUGCCUUCAAUUCCAUUACUUCCUUUUGCCUUUAAGAGUGCAGUCAUAAUCAUCAAAAUACUUAGACUUUGUGAUAUGUCUUUUGGGCUUGCUAUUCAUCUUUUGUUGCCUCCUCUUGAGCCAUAACACUUUUGGCCUUCCUCUUCCUAUAUUCCCUUGUGUCUCUUGAAGACUGUGCAACAUUACUUCGACUGGAUUAUUCAAUGUGAACAGCACCACCAUAUUCAUCAUCUUUCUUUUUGGAAUAAAGAGGGCAUAUGCCGCAUUCUUUUACUCUGAUAUCGGGCCACCAAUGGCUGAUCUCAAAAGUGAAGCUGCGAGCAUCACAGAGCCUAAGGCUCAUGCCGCUUGCCCUUAGGGACUCCAAGUUAAAUUUCCACACAAAUGUGUGAUCUUUAUCAAGAAAUCUGCCUGCAUCCGUCAAGUUUAACACAUCAUUAUUUGGAAUGAUCUGUGUGCCAUCAUCAUCAGAUUCAAAUUUUAGGCUGUAACCAAAAGAACUAUAUCUACCUUUAAUAUCAUUCGUAUCUAACACUUCAAAAACCACGCACAAAGAGAAACCAGUGAGCCUAUUAUCGCUGCAAAAACUUAAAUCUUCAUUUAUAGUCACUGAAUGUCCCUUCCCACGAAAAUGGAACCAACCAGGAACUGCACUCCCUGGAUAACAGAAGAACACAGACCUAUAUGCAUCGUCGGUCAUCCUAAGCCUUGCAUCCUUCUCAAUGUUAGCACGACCACCUGAAUCCAGUUGUUGAGCAUUGGUGAAAUGAAAUUUGAAUACACCCUCUUUGGAAUUUGAGAGGUUCCGAACAAGAGAAUUUGACAUCACUUUUCUAAUGGAUGGGCAAUCCAAUGCCACGAGUUGUUUUAGAAAUGGUGGAAUCGGUGGGAUGCAUUCAAGCUUUUUGCAGUCGCUUAAAUCAAGCGAUUUCAAGCUCGAAAGAUGAGCAAUGCUCUCAGGAAGGUUCACGAUUCCGCUAUCACGCAGUGACAGUUCCAUUAAUGACGUCAAACGACCAAUGUGCCUUGGGAUUUCUGUUAAUUUGGCACACCCCGAACAAUCAAGUUUAGAGAGAAGCUUCAGAUUAACAAUGCAGUUUGGAAGUGACUCGAGAUCAGUGCAUUUGCGGAGCUCCAGGGAACGAAGAUUAACGAAAUUGGCAAAUGAGGAAGGCAGUUCUUUAACAGUCGUAGAUGUUAAGUUAAUGUGAGCAAAAGUAUGAGCCGACUCCGUGAUCUCUGGGAAGGUCCUCAGCCUUGAGCAACCACGCAAAUCAAGGUUCCUCAACUUCAAAUUGAAAAUGGUGCUUGGAAAAGUUUGAAGUGAAUUACAGUGGGCAAGGUCUAACUUGCAUAGUCUGGUGAGGCUUCCAAUGGAAGAUGGAAUAAUCUCAAGAUUGAAGCAACUGUGCAAACUCAGUUGUUGAAGCCCUACCAAACGGCACAAGGAUGAAGGUAGUGCCUGUAUGGCUGUGUCGUCUAAGAUGAGCACCGCUAGAUCUUCCAACGUGUCCUGAAUCUCGGGUAAAUUUUCCAGUUUUGAGCAACCACUGAGACAAAGUUGCUUUAGGAAUUUCAUAUCAGAAAGGUCAAACGGAAAGAUUGUAAGGGAAGAACAGUCAGAGAGAUCUAAGUAACAGAGGUUCUUGAGACUUUGAAAGUUUAAGGGCACACCUUCCAAGAGACUGUUGAACACCUCUGAGUCUUCUGAGUCUGUAGCAUUAUUAGCCACUUCUAUAUUAUAUCUGUCAAAAGUAAUUGACAAAAUUUCACUGCUUGGGGAAAUUUCACUGGAAGUUGGGAAAUUUAUCUCUUUCGUCAUAUCCAGUUCCUGACGCUCCAGUAUGACAUGAGGGAGAAAUUUAUCUUCAUGUUUACUGAUUGAAAACAUAUUAAGCUUCCGACAAUGGGAAAGAGUAAUCCAUCCUGGUGAUGUGGAUAAAAUGUUGCUCGGAAUAUUUACACUAUUCAGAUCAUCACAAUGAUCUAAACAUAAACAACUGAGUUUGCUGAGGAAUAUCGAAGAGUGAAUUUCAAUCAACUUUUUACAAUAACUCAGAAUUAUUUUUUCAAUAUUUGGUGACAUAGAAAGGUCUGGUAUUCUAGCAAGUUUCCAAGAACGUGUCAGGUCGAGCCUUUUCAAGUUGGGUAAAUUCUGCCACAAAAAGUAAAUGAAUCAGGUAACAAAUAAUAACUACUUUAUCUAUUUUUCUUCCUAUUUAAACUAUUAGCUACUACUAUUGAGUUUAUAUUUUACAUUACUUAAAAACCACUGUUAAAAAAGCCACACUGUGGACUAACAAAAUUAUAUUUUAAAAUAUUAUUAAAGAUAAAAUAUGAAGAUAGGGUAAUUAAAUUAAAUAUAAUUUUUAUUUUUCAGAAAUGAUGAAAAUUAUAAUUAAAUUAACUAAAUUAUAUAAAAUUCCAUUUUAUUUACAUAACUCCUUUUCAUAUUAAAAAACUAUAUAAGAUCUUGAAACUAUAAUUAAUAUCUUAAAAAUUUAAAUAAUAAUAAUUAUUUCUACUCAUCCUUAAUUUUUGUUGGUGAAAUCUUGAUUUUUGGGAUAAUAUCACUUAAACUUAAGAAAUAUUUGACAUUAAUGAACUCUAAACAAAUUUAUAUAAGAAAUCAAGACAUCACUUUCAAUCCGAAAUCUUAAACUAAUAGGUUUAUGGAUUUUCUUUAUAUGUUGUUCAUCUUACCAAUUUGAACCCAAUGCGAGACUUUCAACUCUAAGAGAUGAAGUGGUGUACUUUAUGCUUCUAGGACUUGUUAGAUAUUGAAACAUGUACCAUUGCUAAAAUGUUUGAAUGAAGGAGAAGUCAAAGUCUCUCUCCUUUAGAGAUAUUCGCUCAAGUGGCAAGAGGUUGAUUAAGCAAGAGAGAGAUCGUAUUAAUUCUCUCUUCUAUGCAAUUGUUGUCGUUCAAACAAUGUGGAAUCAUUCAAGCAAAGAAAUCUUCUUUUGGGUUAGGAAACAAGGUUUUUCAAGCGAGAUAAACUCGUCUAAAGAAUUUAACUCUAGUAGUGAAAUGUUGUUGCCAUGAUUUAGCCAAGUGUUUGUAUCUAUGAGGCUAAUGAUGAUGAUGACGAUGAUAAGAUGCAUGAAUGUGUAUACACAAGUGUAUGAUAUACCUCAUGUUAUAUAUUGUAUGUGAUUCAAUUGAUGACCAUUUAUUUUUAGGCCAUUUAUAUGUAUAUUUUGGCCCUUUUAUGAGUAUGUGACGAGAUAUACCUAAGAUUGUAUUAUGAUCCUAAUGAGUCGAAGUAUCAAACACAAAACUCAUUAUGGAAAAAAAAAGAUAUUUUGUGCAUCAGUUAUGAUAUGAUCACAACAAUUAAAGCAUGUGUGAACGGUUAAUAUUGUUCUUAAUAAGAAAACAAAUAAUAUUGUAUGUGACAUUAGAGAUGUCAAAUAGGUUUAGAAAAUUAUUAAGUUUAAUUAUCUUUUUAGUCUUUAUAUUAAUGACCAAAAGUCAAUUCAGAUUUUUAGAAAGUUCAAUAUGAUUUAAUUUUUUAAAAAACAAUUCAAUGUGAUUCCUUCUAGUAUAUUUCCCUUAUUAAAAUAUUUUUAUCUUAAUGAUUCUGCCACUGUUAAGUUAUAUGUGUUGUUAUCACAUUGAAUUGUUUUAAAAAAAUUUGGAACCACCACAUUAAAUUGUUUUAAAAAGUUAGUACUAAAUUGAACUUUUGAAAAUUGGGAGAAUGAAAUUAAAUUUUGUCUAUUAAUACAGGGACAAAAAAUAAUUGAAUCAAAUAUUUUACUAUUUUUGUGAUGUAUAUUUAUAUAUAAAUAAUUUUGAGAAUUUAGAGUUACAAUGUGUUAUAUCAUAUAUAUAUAAUUCUUUUUGGUAAUGUAUCCUGUAGUUGUAAGCAAGUAUGAUUAUAUUAAGUGGGGCGUUUCAAAUAGUGGAGACUACGCAUAUACAAAUAUCUCUUAUAAAGUAAGAAAACAAAACAAUCGUUACUCAAGAAGAUCAUGCAAUGCAUCACAGACAACAUGGGAGAUAUAUAUCAACAAUAAUAUGAGUAAAUAAUACAUUCAUGGGCCAUUAGACGAUAUGCCUAAAAAAAAUAUGCAAACUAUUAAAUUUAUAAUUAUUUUUAAUUAGAAACAUGCUGAGUAUGACUCUUAUGAUAUAUGUAUAACUGUGUGCUUCAAAUAAAAGAAAUUUCAAAUCGAAUAAUGUGGAGAAGGCACAAAGGAAUUGCAAAUGAAAACCUGUAGAUGUAUAAUACACAAAACAUGCUUGUCUAAUUUAUUUUUAUCUUUGAAAGUUUAGAACACAAAGGAACAUAGAUAACUUGAAAAACCUGAUCUCCUUCCCAGAGUUGUUCAAGAUCGCAGUAUGGCAUUUCGAGGAUCACUAGAUUUUGUGGGCAAAAGUUUGGAGGCCAGAAUCUUUGAAGGAAACCGUUCCAAUAAAGAAACUUUAGAGUGUCCGGCAGACCUACAAGAGAUGAUUCAAGAGACACUUUUGAAUUCAAUCUAGGCAUGUAGACCAUAAGCAUCAUAAGAUUGUCCAUCUUUUCGAAACUUUGUGCAUGUACUACAGCAUCUUUUACUUUGUUCGUAUGAUAUUGAUAUACACUGUAUUGCAUCUGACCCCUGAAAGUAAAUCAAUGUAAUUAGAAAAAAAAACAUGAAAUGUUGCAUUUCAGGAUGCUUAAUGACAGCUCAGUAGUUUUCUAUUUUUCACAAAGUAACAACAGCAUAUACCUUGUUCUUUCUUAAAACCUCACAAAUUUCCUCAUCAUUAAACAAUCGGCUGCGUUUUCCAGGAUGCUGAGGACACUCUUUACGAACAAUUUCUUUACCCAUUUCUUGUAUUAGAUCGUGCAUCACAAUUCUACCAUCAAAGACAGAGAUUAGACCCCUAUCUUUGAGAAUAUCCAUUCCAAUCUUAGAAGAGAAACCACAGUCAUCAAGUGUUUCUGCUACCACAGUCUCCUCUUGCCCUCUAUAAAAGCAAGCUAUGUCAAGAAAUAUAUUCUUCUCCUCCUCCUUGAGCCCAUAAUAACUUAAUUUUAAUACGUCGAAAGUUCCAAGAUCUUGGCCGUUUUCCAACUUUUGCAACUGACUCUCCCAUGCUUCUCUUGUUCUGCCAUAAAGCAAUGACCCCAAAAUCUGGAGAGCUAACGGAAUUCCUUUUGCAUAUCUCAACACCUUUACUGACAGGUCCAUGUAAGCAAUUCCUUCUGAAGAUUUUUGUUUAAAAGCAUGUAAACUAAAAAGUUUCAGAGAAUCAUAAAAAUUCAACUCCUUAACUUCGUAGAUAUCAUCAGCUCCAGCAUUCUUAAGCACUUGUCUGUCUCUACUGGUCAUAAUGAUUCUACUGCCCUGCCCAAAACUAUCACUCCCACCUAUUAAUUUUUGAAGUUGAGUUGAAUCGGUAACAUCAUCAAGAAUGAGGAGAACCUUUGUCCGUUUGAGCCUUUCAUUGUAAUAUGGUAAAUAAGAGGAUUUCUCUUCCUUUAGAAGCUCAGACUGAUAUUUUGUUCUGAUACCGUCUAUUCCAUCUCUUUGUAUUUUUUCUUGAACGUCUAAAACAAGGCUGCUGGAAUCAAACUGCAAUGCCAAUUUCUGAUAUAUUUGAUCACAAAUUGUAGUUUUUCCUAUUCCUCCCAUGCCACAAAUUCCUAUGAUCCGAACAUCCGUUGACUCAAGAUGCAACAAGGACUGAAUUCCUUCAAUAUUUUUUUCAAUGCCGAUGAUUCCUUGAUCAUAACUGGCGGAAUAACGAUUCAAUUUUCUCAAAAUAUCUUCCACAAUUUCUUCAACAAGUGCGUGUUCUGGCCUGGCAGAUGAUUUAGAAAAUAAAGUAUAAGUAUUCAAGCACAAAAGCUAAAGUAAACUAAAGAAAAAUUUUACAGUAACCGUUUGUGACUUCUGAUACUAGGGAGCAUACUUGUAGGUACAAAGUUAAGCUAUUGUGUGAUAUGGUUCAGAUCUAUGACCGACUAAUAGAAAUGAAAAAAGAAGCACUUGAUUUAUGGUGAGAUGAACACAAUUUUAGUAAAUGAAAAGAGAUCCUGAUUAUCUAAUAAAUAUAAUGACCUGGUGACUUUUGAAUCCCAGCCUGCAAGUCCAGCAGCUUCGGUGAGAGCAUCCUUCCAUCCUUGCACUGUGUCGUGCUUAAAGUGCUGCUCAUGCUCAUUGAAUGCUUCUUUGUAUCUUUCUUCCUGCUUCCUAAUAGUUGAUGGAUCCACCUUGUAGAAAACAGGUAUCACAUCCCUUCCAUAUCUCUUCUUGCAAUCAAGUAUCUUAGUGAGUUCAUCCAAGCACCAUGUGGAAGAUGCAUAGUUUUUGGAGAAAACGAUGACAUAAAUCUUUGAUUCUUCUAUUGCAGAGAGGAGUACAGGUGAAAUUUCUUGGCCCCUGAGUAAUCUGUAAUCAAUAUAUGCUUGAAUGUUCUUCCUUUGCAGCGCUGCAUAAAGGUGACUAAUGAAGUUGUCACGUGUGUCUUCCCCUCUGAAGCUGAGAAACACAUCAUGCUUUGUUAAAGAAGCAGACAUGGCCAAUGAUGAAGGGUUUCAAUGUUCUCUGCAACUCUCAGAUCCCUUUGUUUGUAAGCAACUUCCAUAUAUUCUAUUAGGAAGGAAAAUAUAUAUUUCUACCAUUCCUACCACAAAUUGAAAAAGCCUUUCAAUUUUCUCAAAAUAUCUUUCACAGCUGUGUUCUGUCAGAUACGAAACAUUGAGUCAAUGGAAGAGUCAACAAUUGGCAGAAUAUUAUGGUGUGUAGCUUUAUACCAUUCUUACAAUAUUUGAUUGGUUGAAUAUAUACAAUAUGACUAAUGAACUUUUUUCUUUUCCGUAUUCCACGAUAAUUCCCUAGGCACCCUAUUAUACACUUUCUUAUCAACGGAAACCAUGUCUGUCCUUUUAUAGUUUUAAUCCUAUAAUAUCUUUCCAUUAAUCAUCAUUAUCACUCUUCAACCUUCAUAUCAAGUGUAUUGAUUUCAUACUUCAUCAGCUAGACAUAAUAAAAUCUCAAUAAUCUUUUAUACUGUCAACAUUUAUAAAAAAUAUUUCCUUCAAUAAUAUUUGUACUUUCUAGCAUAUAGAAUACUUAAUGGAUUCUUCUGUGAUUUUUCUUUCCUAAAGUACAAUUGAUAUUUUAACAGAUGCCGAAAGGUCUUGAAUAUGAGGCUGUUUCGAAAUGAAAAUUGGGGUAAAGCAUUUUCAAGUUAACAAGUUUUGUUGGGUGAGUGAGUGAUCAGUGCUAGCAUUUUCAAUCUCAGUUAUAGAAUGUAAAGAUUUACACAUUUAUUUGCUGAUUAAUAAUUUAUUUAUUGAAUUAAAUGUUUUAACAGUGAGUAUGGAUUCUUGAAUGAAUGUAAUCAUGGUGUAGAAUGUACAUAGUACAUAUAGUGAGUUGGAUUGAAAUGUUGAACACGUUUUCCUCUGCAAAGAUUCAGGAUAUUUAUGAACUUGCUAUAAAUUGUUUUAACUUUUCUCUGCAACUCUCAGUCCCUUUGUUUCUACCAUUUUGUUUUUGAAAAGCCUUUCAAUUUUCUCAAAAUAUCUUUCACUGCUGUGUUCUGUCAGAUACGAAACAUUGAGUCAAUGGAAGAGUCAACAAUUCGUAGAAUAUUAUAUUAUGGUGUCAAUAUUUAAUAAAUUUAUUUAUUUCUUUAACAUAUUUUAGAAAAUAACCAGUAAACAUAAAACUUUUAGUAUGACUAAAAGAAUAAAGAUAGUGUAAGAAUAACAGGAAUAACAUUACUACAAAUAACAAUAUAUUAAUAUUAAUAUGUUUCUUAAUAAAUUUUACACCCACUGUCUAUUUAUAAAUUAAUAUAUUAUAAACAUCUAUUGAUUUUUUGUGGGUAGCUUAUUUCUGUAACAUUUUAAAUUAAUUUUUUAGAUUUUACAAAACAUUACAUUUUGAUUAUAAUAUUUAGGACUGUGAUGCAAUUUCUGCAAUGAAGGCUGGCAGACUAAGUUUCUCCAAGCCCAAUUAAUACUGGGUUGAAAAUUCUGAGAAGAGGGUGAGUAUGAUGCUGCGGUCAUGAUCUAUGUAUUAAAGUGUUAAGGCAUGGGUUUGGUUGACAGGACAAUACUGGUUUUUCAUUGCUACUACUUAAUAUGAUUCUUUCUUACUGCUAUAUGAAUUUGCUGUCAAAUAGCAGUAAAUAAAAGACUUCAAAUAAAGCAUGUGUUUAUCAUACAUGGACUAAUGCAGCAGUUUUAGUAGAAGGGGCUAAUAUGAUUUUAAUCUAGAACAAGAUGGCUAAACCCAAAGAUGGUGGGAAUAAUAUCCUCAAAUCAAUUGUUUUGGUUUUCAGUGUAAUGUCAUUUGUAAGUAUCAAAAUUUGUUUGUUAUCACAUUGGAAGGUAGUAUCUGUCAUGAAAUUUGUGGAAGACCUUUACCUAUGUUUGCUUUGGGUCUGUUUUACGCCCUCUCGAAUUAAGUAAAUUUUUAAUUGCCAUCAUGAAAUUAGGCUAAAUAUGUGUAGUUUUGAGCACUUUCUUUCUUCCAUUUCAAUUCAUAGUUUCAUACAUAUUCAAUAUCAUGUGGGAAUUAAGUUCUUGCUUUUAAGGUGAAUAACAGUUUGUAUUCUUGCAGAAAACUAUUUUCUAAUGCAUAUAAAUUUCAUUUUCUAUUUUCAGCAUUGGAUUAUGUUAUGUAAUUUUUCCUUUGUAUUAUACAGAGUAGGAUUUUAAUGUUUCUACUGAACAGUGCUAUCUUUUUUCGUCCAUAUUCUGAUUUUGUUCAAUUUUUUUCAGUAUGUGCCACAUGCAGAUCAGAUGUAAGGAAUUUUCUAAAUUUUUUUUCAAGCUUUCUUGUUUGCUUAAAGUUUUCUGUAAGUAUUUAACUGUCUUAAGUUGUUAAUGAGGACUAAGGACUGAAAAAGAGAAUUAGCCAUGACAUGGUGGCAUUAUCCUUCUUCAAAACCAUUAGUUUUUUUUCCUACAAAGAUACAUGUCAAGAAAGCAAACCAGGAACAAAAGUGAUGUUUAUGAUUGCUUUCUCUCUUGUUUACUUGCUUUCUUUUUGUUGGACAAUUGUCUUAAUUGCAUUCACACCUAACCUGCAGUAGUUUCAGUCCCUUUGGGGUUGUCAUAAUUGCAGCCUCAAGAGUGGUGGUGUAGUCCAACAUCAACCAGUGAUAUAGUUCAAAUAUAGCAUAUACAUGAAAGUCGUGUUGAUAAUCAAAGGUUGCUUCAUCUUAACUAAUAACAUGUAAAUGUCAUUUGAAUGGUUAAAAAGGAAUUCACCAGUGUAACACAAAAUGAAUGGAUUGCUUGGUUAUGUGUCAACUGUUGUACUUUUUUUGAGUUGCUUGAAAAUAAUUAAAAUUUGUUUUCAUCUAGAUCUUGGUUUUUUCCUAUGAUCAAAUCUCGAUUUAUUUCUGUGCAGAACUUUCUUGUGGACAUAAAAGGACCAGCUAUAGCAUUUUUACCGGUGCUUGCAUUUGAAGGAGGAACUAGAAGAAAUAUACCUAGGUUUGAGGUGUGUAUAAAUUAUUUUUGAUGUAUUUCGUGAUGUAGAUGUAAAAUAAUGCAAUACUUUGUUUUUAGUUUCAAUGUUACUCUUUAUCUGCAGGUUGGAAACAUAUCUUGAUGAAAUAUAGAAACAUUUUUAUUCAUAAUAUAUAUAUAAGGAUUACACAUUCAUAAUUAUUUCUUUCUGUCGUAGCAUUGUCUACCUCAAAUCACUGCAACUUUCUGUUGUUGGUAUAAAAAUACAAUAUUUUAAUCCCAGUUUUGAUAGCCUCUAUUCUUCAGUGGUUGAGAUAUUUUUUAUAAGAAUUUAGAAGUUCUGAGAUAUUUAUGAUAAGAAUUUCAAGUUCUUUGUUACUAGCAGUUUAAUGGUUAUAUCAUUUUUGUUCUCUGGAAAAUAUCUUAUACAAAAUCGGUACUUAGAUUUGGUAUUUAUAUUGUUCAUAUGUAGAAAUCUAAUACUAGCAAAUUUUGUCUAAUUUAAAAGCAAUUACAUUCUACUCUUUGGAAUAUGUUCUGGCCUGCUUUUAUGAAUUAUUUGAAAAUUUGUAAUUAUAAAAUUUAGUCUUUGAAAUUAUAAAUUUAAUAGAGAAGCAUCCAUACUAAACUUUUAUAUUAUAAAUUGUCAGUUUUAUAUUGAAAACAUAUCCCCUUUAGUAUAAGACUUAAAGGAGAUGUCUUUUGGUAUAAAAACUGAAAUAAAAAAUAUUUUAACUAUAUGGGUCAAAUGGAUGAUUAAACUUAUAAAAUGUACAAUUAAACUUAUAAAUUAUAAUAAACGAUACUUUAAUUUUAAACUAUAUUGAACUUUUAUUAAUGUUCUCGCUUUUCUUUAAAAGCUAUUGAACUCUAUCUAACAAUAACUUAAAAAUGAGAAAUUCAUGAUAAAAUUUCAACACUUGUAAUCUAGAAGUAUUACGAUAAGCCAGAAGAGGAAGAGACUAGUUGACUGGGUAGCUUUCGGCGUUCCUCUUCCUAUCUUCCCCUGUUUCUCCUGAAGAGUGUGCAACAUUGCUUCCACUGAAUUCUUCAAUGUCAUUUUCUGAUGCAGAAUAGUCAACAGCACCACCAUAUUUAUCAUCUUUCUUUUUCGUAUAAAGAGGGCAUAUGCCGCAUUCUUUUAUUCUGAUACCUGAUUUCAACUCUCUCUCAACUGAUUCGUAAUCUGGCCGAUUUGGCCGCAGAAAGGGAUCAUACGGACUGAUCUCAAAAGUGAAGCUGCGAGCAUCACACAGCCUAAGGCUCAUGCCGCUCGCCAUUAGGGACUCCAAGUUAAAUUUCCACACGAAUGUCCCUUCACCAUCCCAUUUGAAAUAGCUAUUUAACACACCCUUAUAUGGAAUGAUCUGUGUGCCAUCAUCAUAUUCAAAUUUUAGGCUGUAACGAAAAGAACCAUAUCCACCUUUAAUAUCUAACACUCCAAAAGCUACACACAAAGCGAAACCAGUGAGCCUAUCAUCGCUGCAGAAACUUAAAUCUUCAUUUAUAGUCACUGAAUGUCCCUUCCCACGAAAAUUGAACCAACCAGGAACUGCACUCCCUGGAAAACAGAACAACACACACCUAUAUGUAUCGUCGAUCAUCCUAAGCCUUGCAUCCUCCUCGAUGUUAGCACGAGCACCUGAAUCCAGUUGUUGAGCAUUGGUGAAAUGAUAUUUGAAGACACCCUCUUUGGAAUUUGACAAGUUUGGAACAAGAGAAUUUGACAUCACUCUUCUAAUGGAUGGGCAAUCCAAUGCCUCGAGUUGUUCUAGAAAUGGUGGAAUCGGUGGAAUGCAUUCAAGCUUUUUGCAGUCGCUUAAAUCAAGUGAUUUCAGGCUUGAAAGAUGAGCAAUGCUCUCAGGAAGGUUCACGAUUCCGCUAUCACGCAGUGACAGUUCCAUUAAUGACGUCAAGCGACCGAUGUGUCUUGGGAUUUCUGUUAAUUUGGCACACCCCGAACAAUCAAGUUUAGAGAGAAGCUUCAUAUUAACAAUGGAGUUUGGAAGUGACUCGAGAUAAGUGCACUCUUGGAGUUCCAGGGAUCGAAGAUUAACCAAAUUGCCAAAUGAGGAAGGCAGUUCUUUAACAGCCGUACAUGUCAAGUCAAUAUGAGCAAAAGUAUGAGCCGGCUUCAUGAUCUCUGGGAAGGUCCUCAGCCUUGAGCAACCACCCAAAUCAAGCUUCCUCAAUUUCAAAUUGAAAAUGGUGCUUGGAAAAGUUUGAAGUGAAUUACAGUAGGUAAGGUGUAACUUGCAUAGUCUGGUGAGGCUUCCAAUGGAAGAUGGAAUAAUCUCAAGAUUCAAGCAACUGUGCGAACUCAGUUGUUGAAGCCCUACCAAACGGCACAAGGAUGAAAACUUAUUUUAUUUUUGCUGUUCAUGCAUAACAUUAACAAAUAUUGACAUGAGAGAUUGUGUUUGUAGGCUUCUAAGCUCACCAACGUGUCCCGUUCUUGAUGCUUUAGGGAAGAAAAUUUCCUUUGAGAUUGCAAAAGGACUCAGGAGAAUUUAGAAGUUCUGAGAUAUUUAUGAUAAGAAUUCAAGUUCUUUGUUACUAGCAGUUUAAUGGUUAUAUCAUUUUUGUUCUCUGGAAAAUAUCUGAUACAAAAUUGGUACUUAGAUUUGGUAUUUAUAUUGUUCAUAUGUAGAAAUCUAAUACUAUAGCAAAUUUUAUCUAAUUUAGAAGCAAUUAUAUUCUACUCUUUGGAAUAUGUUCUGGCCUGCUUUUAUGAUUGUAAUUAUAAAUUUAAUAGAGGAGAUUACCAAACAUCCAUACUAAUUAAACUUUUAUAUUAUAAAUUUUUUCAGUUUUAUAUUGAAAACAUAUCCCUUUAGUAUAAGACUUAAAGGAGAUGUCUUUUGGUAUAAAAACUGAAAUAAAAAAUCUUUUAACUAUAUGGGUCAAAUGGAUGAUUAAACUUAUAAAUGUACAAUUAAACUUAUAAAUUGUAAUAAACGAUACUUUAAUUUUAAACUCUAUUGAACUUUUUUUAAUGUUCUCGCUUUUCUUUUAAAUGCAUUUCACUUGUGUGUUUUGUAUUCAGGCUGAUUUUAACUUUAUUCUCAAAUAUACAAAAUAAUUUUUGGUAAUUAUCUUGUGUCGAUCUUGACUUGUAGUAUCAAUGUGAAAUAUGUAAUAAUUACUUUUCUAUGAUUCAGAGGGAAAAUUAUUCCAACUAGACUUUUACAAAUAUAUUUCAAGUGGUAAUAUGAUUUUAAAAAAAAUAGGAUUCGCCACAAAAAAAAGUUACUGUUCCUAAUUGACAUGGUGCUGUCAAAAUUAUUUAAUUACAAUUUAGAUCUUCACUCUACAUAUAAUUAAUUAAUUACCAAUUAUUUAAAAGACUAGUAAAUUAUAAUUUUAAUCUCUCUACAACUUUCUAAAUUUAGUUAUGAUUCUCUCAAAAAAAUUUCCCUUAAAUAUUAAUUAUAAUUACCUUUAGACAGAAACAUUUCUAAUUUAAACAAGCAAAAAUAAGAAAAAAAAAUAGAUUACAAAAACUAAAUUUGAAUUUUUUUAUAUAACUCCAAAUAUAUUUUAUCCAUAAAUAAAUUCUAUUAAUAUUUCAUUUCUGUUUAAAUAGUUUAUUCAUAUUUGUAAUAUUAUUUUCAAAAAACAAUAAUUGUUUUUUGAAUAAAGGUUUACAAAUUCUAUAAUAAUGUAAAUGAGAAGAGGAGUGAGGGUAAAAAUAUGAGAACCUAUGUGAGGGAAUCUUGUGACAAUUUAGCUGGUGUUCAACUUGUGAGAAGUCUUUCAACUUGGUUUUCAAGUUUUAUAUUCAAUUUCUGUUCCUUCAAAUGUUUCUGAUUUUACAGCUCCUCAGGAUUUUACAGCUCCAUGCACAAACCUAAUACAAUGAUAUGAUAUUCAAUCAGCAUUAAUUAGCAUAAACAGGUACCUUGUUGUAAAACUGGGAAUAUGAGAUUCCAUAGGAUGGAGAAAAGUAUGAAGAGGAAUUACCAAUCACCAUUUACCAAUCAUAAUGCCUUCACUACAAAUGCAACCCAAAUAUGCUAAAGAAGUUAAUGAAACUAUAUAUGAAGAGUUUCAAGAAGAUGCAACUCUGGGACAACAGAGCAACCCAUCUCAUGCUGAACACAAACAUCAAACUACAUCUAACAAUAAUUCAGAAAUCUUAAUCAACAAUUGAGCGAACCCACUCCUAAAAUGCCAUUGAGAAUGUAAAUAAAUCAAAAUACAUUAAAAACGAGAAAUUCUUAAUAAAAAUUCAACGUGUUGAACCUUGUAAUUUAGAAGUAUUAACGAGAAGCCAGUUUAGAUCCUCACCAAUGAAAGACUAUUUUACAGGUUAGCUUCCACUGGAUUCUUCAAUGUGAACAGCACCACCAUAUUUAUCAUCUUUCUUUUUGGAAUAAAGAGGGCAUAUGCCGCAUUCUUUUAUUGUCACAACUGACCACCCAAAGUCAUAAAGAGGACUGAUCUCAAAAGUGAAGCUGCGAGCAUCACACAGCCUAGGGCUUAGGGAUUCUAAGUUAAAUUUCCAGACGAAUGUGUGAUCUUUAUCAACAAAACUGUAUUCACCAUUCCAUUUGAAAUGUCUGUUUAACCUAUCAUUAUUUGGAAUGAUAUGUGUGCCAUCAUCAUCAGAUUCAAAUUUUAGGCUGUAACCAAAAGAACCAUAUCUACCUUUAACAGAAUUCGUAUCUAACACUCCAAAAACCACACACAAAGCGAAACCAGUGAGCCUAUCAUCGCUGCAGAAACUUAAAUCUUCAUUUAUAGUCACUGAAUGUCCCUUCCCACGAAAAUGGAACCAACCAGGAACUGUACUCCCUGGAAAACAGAAGAACACAGACCUAUAUCUAUCAUCGGUCAUCCUAAGCCUUGCAUCCUCCUCAAUGUUAGCACGACCACCUGAAUCCAGUUGUUGAGCAUUGGUGAAACGAAAUUUGAAGACACCCUCUUUGGAAUUUGACAAGUUUUGAACAAGAGAAUUUGGCAUCACUCUUCUAAUGGAUGGGCAAUCCAAUGCCACGAGUUGUUUUAGAAAUGGUGGAAUCUGUGGGAUGCAUUCAAGCUUUUUGCAGUCGCUUAAAUCAAGCGAUUUCAAGCUUGAAAGAUGAGCAAUGCUCUCAGGAAGGUUCACGAUUCCGCUAUCACGCAGUGACAGUUUCACUAAUGACGUCAAGCGACCGAUGUGUCUUGGGAUUUUUGUUAAUUUGGCACACCCCGAACAAUCAAGUUUAGAGAGUAGCUUCAGACUAACAAUGGAGUUUGGAAGUGACUCGAGAUCAGUGCAUUUGCGGAGCUCCAGGGAUCGAAGAUUAACGAAAUUGGCAAAUGAGGAAGGCAGUACUUUAACAGCCGUAUAUGAUAAGUCAAUGCGAGCAAAAGUAGGAGCCCGCUCCGUGAUAUCUGGGAAGGUACUCAGGCUUGAGCAACCACACAAAUCAAGCUUGCUCAAUUUCAAAUUGAAAAUGCUGCUUGGAAAAGUCUGAAGUGAAUUACAGCGGGUGAGGUGUAACUUGCAUAGUCUGGUGAGGCUUCCAAUGGAAGAUGGAAUAAUCUGAAGAUUGAAGCAACUGCGCAAACUCAGUUCUUCAAGCCCUAUCAAACGGCACAAGGAUGAAGGUAGUGCCUGUAUGGCUGUGGCGUCUAAGAUGAGCACCGCUAGAUCUUCCAACGUGUCCUGAAUCUCGGGUAAAUUUUCCAAUUUUGAGCAACCACGGAGAGAAAGUUGAUUUAUGAAUUUCAUAUCAGAAAGGUCAAUUGGAAAGAUUGUAAGAGAAGAACAGUGAGAGAGAUCUAUGUGAGAGAGCUUCUUGCCACUAAAUUGUAAGGGCACACCUUCGUAGUCUUCUGAGUAUUCUGAGUCUGUAGCAUUAUUAGCAUUUAUCUCUUUCAUCAUAUCCGGUUCCUGACGCUCCAGUAUGACAUGAGGGAGAAAUUUAUCUUCAUGUUCACCCAAUGAAAACAUAUUAAGCUUCUCACAACCGGAAACACUAAUCCAUCCUGGUGAUGUGGAUAAAAUGUUGCUGGGAAUAUUUACACUUUUGAGAUUAGAACAAUGAUCUAAACAUAAACAACUGAGCUUGGUGAGGAAUAUCGAAGAGUGAACUUCAAUCAACUUUGAACAAUAACUCAGCUUUAUUUCUUCAAUAUUCGGUGACAGAGAAAGGUCUGGUAUUCUAGUAAGUUCCCAAGAUUUAACCAGGUCGAGCCUUUUCAAGUUGGGUAAAUUCUGCCAGAAAUAGUAAAUGAAUGAGGUAACAAAUAAAAACUACUUUAUCUAUUUUUCUUCCUAUUUAAACUAUUAGCUACUAUCUAUUGAGUUUAUAUUUUACAUUACUUAAAAACCACUGUUAAAAAAACCACACUGUGGACUAACAAAACUCUGCCUAUAAAUUUUAUAGUUAUUAUAAAAAAUCACAAAAUUUAACGUCUUUUUGUUCCCUACCUAAAAUUACAUCCUAAUCAUUUGAACCUAAACUUAUUAUGUAUUCAAAAACUUAUGAUAGUAAUUUAUAAUCGAUCACAAUGUCAAAAUACUUUAUAUUAUACAUGUAUCAACUCACAAAAUAAAUGGUGUUGUCUCAGAUUUAAAAUUAAACCUUAGUUAAAAAGUCCAUCUUUCCAUAAUUUAUUUUAUUAAAUACAUAAUUUGUAAUUUAUUGUAUAUUAUAUUCAAGUUUAUGUUAUGAUAAAAAAAGUAUCUAAGGCAUUUUUAAUUAAAUAAUAUAAAAUAAACAACAUGAACUCAAUUAAAUAAUAUAAAUUUUUUUGAAUACUCGAUGGAAUAAAAAAAUUAAUAAAACCCUCAAUUUGAAAAUAACCAAAUUUAUAAGAUACUUAAAACUUAAUUAAACCUACAAAUUUUCAUUAUAUGGAAUUAAAUAUUGUAAAGAUUUACCACAUAAGUUUCAUAAGUAGAAGGUUUAAACAUAAAAUUCUUCACGUUGGGAGUUUCUUUCCUCUAUCUUAUAAGUUUUCGUUGUUUCUUUAAUAUUUUUUAUAUGGCUUCUGUCAAUGUAAUUUUUUUUUUGGUUUUAAAAUAUUAUUAAAGAUAAAAUAUGAAGACAGGGUAAUUAAAUUAAAUAUAAUUUUUAUUUUUCAGAAAUGAUGAAAAUUAUAAUUAAAUUAACUAAAUUAUAUAAAAUUCCAUUUUAUUUACAUAACUCAUUUUCAUAUUAAAAAACUAUAUAAGAUCUUCCAAAGUAGAUAUAAUACAUUCACGGGCCAUUAGAUGAUAUGCCUAAAAAAAUAUGCAAACUAUUAAAUUUAUAAUUAUCUUUAAUUAGAAACAUGCUGAGUAUGACUCAAAUAAAAGAAAUUUCAAAUCGAAUAAUGUCGAGAAGGCACAAAGGAAUUGCAAAUGAAAACUUGUAUAUGUAUAAUACAGAAAACAUGCUUGUAUAAUUUAUUUUUAUCUUUGAAAGUUUAGAACACAAAGGAACAUAGAUAGCUUGAAAAACCUGAUCUCCUUCCCAGAGUUGUUCAAGAUGGCAGAAUGGCAUUUCGAGGGUCACUAGAUUUUGUGGGCAAAAGUUUGGAGGCCAAAAUCUUUGAGGGAAAUGUGUCCAAUAAAGAAUCUUUAGAGUGUCUGGCAUAUCCACAAGAGGUGAUUCAAAAGACACUUUUAAUUCCAAUCCCCACGUGUAGAGCCUAAGCACCCUAAGAUUGUUCAUCUUUUCGAAACUUUGUGCAUGUACUACAACUUCUUUUACUUUGAAAGUAGAUAGUGAUAUACACUCUAUUGAAGUAGAUAGUGAUAUACACUCUAUUGCAUCUGACCCCUGAAAGUAAAUCAUGAAAUGUUGCAUUGCAGGAUGUUUGAUGACAGCUCAGUGGUUUGCAAUUUUUCACAAAGUAAAUCCAUUCUCAAUUGAGUAACGACAUAAUACCUUGUUCUUUCUUAAAACCUCUCAAAUUUCCUCAGCAUUAAACAAUCGGCUGCGUUUUCCAGGAUGCUGAGGACACUCUUUACGAACAAUUUCUUUACCCAUUUCUUGUAUUAGAUCGUGCAUCACAAUUCUACCAUGAAAGACAGAUAUUAGGCCCCUAUCUUUGAGAAUAUCCAUUCCAAUCUUGGAAGAGAAACCACAGUCAGCAAGUAUUUCUGCUACCACAAUCUCUUGUGACCUAUAUAAAAGCAAGCUAUGUCAAGAAAUAUAUUCUUCUCCUCCUCCUCGAGCCCAUCAUAACUUAAUUUUAAUACAUUGAAAAUACCAAGAUGUUGGCCCUUUUCCAACUUUUGCAACUGACUCUCCCAUGCUUCUCUUGUUCUUCCAUAAAGCAAUGACCCCAAAAUCUGGAGAGCUAAUGGAAUCCCUUUUGCAUAUCUCAACACCUUUUCUGACAGUUCCCUGUAAGCAAUUUCUUCUGAAGAUUUUUGUUUAAAAGCAAGUAAACUAAAAAGUUUCUGAGAAUCAUCAAAAUUCAACUCCUUAACUUCGUAGAUAUCAUCAGCUCUAGCAUUCUUAAGCACUUGUUUGUCUCUACUGGUGAUAAUGAUUCUACUGCCCUGCCCAAAACUAUCACUCCCUCUUAUUAAUUUUUGAAGUUGAGCUGAAUCGGUAACAUCAGUUAGAAGUGGAACACGUUUGUAGAAGUGGAACACGUUAGUUGGUUAGUUGCCUUAAGAAGCGGAUCAUGUAUUUUUUCUUGAACGUCUAAAACAAGGCUGCUGGAAUCAAACUGCAAUUCCAAUUUGUGAUAUAUUUGAUCACAAAUUGUAGUUUUUCCUAUUCCUCCCAUGCCACAAAUGCCUAUGAUCCGAACAUCCGGUAAGUCAAGAUGCAACAAGGACUGAAUUCCUUCAAUAUUUUUUUCAAUGCCGAUGAUUCCUUGAUCAUAACUGAUGGAAUAACGAUUCAAUUUUCUCAAAAUAUCUCCCACAAUUCCUUCAACAAGUGUGUGUUCUGACCUGGCAGAUGAUUUAGAAAAUAAAGUAUAAGUAUUCAUGCACAAAAGCUAAAACAAAACUAAAGAAAAAUUCAGAGUCAAGAAGAGUGAACAUCAUUGAAUAGAUUCACAUAUUGAUUGUAGGACGUUAUCUUCGAAUAUUAGUGUGGUUGGUUUAGAAAUUGCAAAUCAAGAUCGCAGAAAUUCUACAGUAACCGGUAGUGACUUCUGAUACUAGGAAGCAGUCUUGUAGGUACAAAGUUAAGCUAUAAGAUGUGAUAUGGUUCAGAUCUAUGACCCACUACGAAAAAUGGAAAAAAGAAACACUUGAUUUAUGGUGAGAUGAACACAAUUUUAGUAAAUGAAAAGAGAUCCUGAUUAUCUAAUAAAUAUAAUGACCUGGUGACUUUUGAAUCCCAGCCUGAAAGUCCAGCAGCUUCGGUGAGAGCAUCCUUCCAUCCUUGCACUUUGUCGUGCUUAAAGUGCUGCUCAUGCUCAUCGAAUGCUUCUUUGUAUCUUUCUUCCUGCUUCCUAAUAGUUGACGGAUCCACCUUGUAGAAAACAGGUAUGACAUCCCUUCCAUAUCUCUUCUUGCAAUCAAGUAUCUUAGUGAGUUCAUUCAAGCACCAAGUGGAAGAUGCAUAGUUUUGGGAGAAAACGACGAUAUAAAUCUUCGAUUCUUCUAUUGCAGAGAGCAGUGCAGAUGAAAUUUCUUCGCCCCGGGGUAGUGUCUCAUCAAUAUAUGCUUCUAUGUUCUUCCUUUGCAGUGCUGGAUGAAGGUGGCUAAUGAAGUUGUCACGUGUGUCUUCCCCUCUGAAGCUGAGAAACACAUCAUGCUUUGUUAGAGAAGUGGACACGGGGAAUGAUGAAGAACUUCCUGUUUAAUUUCUUCGCCCCUGUUUAAUCUGUAAUCAAUAUAUGCUUCAAUGUUCUUCCUCUGCAGCGCUGCAUAAAGGUGACUAAUGAAGUUGUCACGUGUGUCUUCCCCUCUGAAGCUGAGAAACACAUCAUGCUUGGUUAGAGAAGCAGACAUGGCCAAUGAUGAAGGGUUUCAAUUUUCUCUGCAACUCUCAGAUCCCUUUGUUUGUAAGCAACUUGCAUAUAUUCUAUUUCUAUCACAAAUCAACUUUUGGAAAAGCCUUCAAUUCAAAAUAUGCUUCACAGCUUUAUAUUAACGUGCCUAGCUUUAUACCAUUCUUACGCAUUGGUAAAGAUUCUUCAAUAUCUUUACUCAAUUUGUUUCUUCAAUACCUUUUACACAUUCUUACGCAUUGGUAAAGAUUCUUCAAUAUCUUUACUCAAUUUGUUUCUUCAAUACCUUUUACAUAUAAAGAAUCGGAUUUGUUUAAUAUAUUUUAGAAAAUAACCAGUAAACAGAAAACUAGGUUAAUAUGACUAAAUGAAUAAAGAUAGUACUCAUAAAAAAUAUUUUAGAUUACAAGUGGUAUAACUAAAAUAAAAUAUUUUAUUUUUAAAAUAAAAUUUAUAAAUAAAUAAAAAAAUAUAAUUGUUUAGUUUUCGGUGUAAAACAAUAUUCAUUUUUAUAAAAAAAAAUCUUUUCUCUUUUAUUUUAUUUUUAUAUUUCUAAUUAGAGUAUUCUUGAGUUUGACAAUAGAAUCCUUUCUUUGGACUUUUGGAAUUAAAUAAAGAUGUUAAUUGAAAAAAAAAAUUGAAAUAGAAACUAAUUUAGAAACCAAAUUUCUUUUUAGUUUCUAAAAUGGUCUCUAAUUUAGUUACUAUUGCAACUAAUUGUUUUGGUUUCUAGAAAUUGGUUUCUAUUUCAUGAUUUUCUUGUAGUGUAUACUGAAGGUGUGCACCCCUAUGAAAUGUUUUUAUUUCUAGUUGAUGUGUGAUUUCCAAUAAUUAUAUAAAUUGAUUGUUAUAUGCAGUGUGAAGUUUAACCUUGAUUUUUACUUGAAAAAAUGGAUUUUAAUAUGAGGUAUGCAUGCUCUCAUACUCAAAUUCAAUAAGCGGAAUUUUCACAUGUCAAUAGAAUUUGAACCUGCAUAGUUUUGGGCACUCUCCACCUCAAAUUCGCUCAAUGUUUUUUCCUGCGUUUAAGCGAAAUUACAUGCAGAUUUUGGAGUACUUUCGGGCUUAAAAUUGCUCAAAGAAAUUUCCCUAUGGCAAGCAAAUUUAAGCUACAAUUGUUUGGGUGUUCUUUGCCUCAAAUUCGUUGCCUCAAAUUCGUUCAGCGAAGAUUUCUCUGGGCUUAAGCCCCAACUUCAUGGGCUCGAGCCAUUUUGACAACAUUUGUCAUCUUUGCUUAGAUAUCUUUUGGUUUGUUUUCUAUAGGUCAUGAAAUUGAAUUAAAUCUUUUGAAAUUUAACAUGUGUUUAAAAUAAGUAAAUCUAACAUUUAUAAUCAUGCAACAUGUGUUUAAUUUAUAAAAAAAAUAUAAAACAAAUACUCAUUAUAUAUUCAAUUGAUAUGUAAAAUUUUAAAUAUUAUGUGAUUAUUGUUGAUAUUUUGUAACGGUUUUAAAAAUAUAAACUUCUAUAUGAUUGAAUGAUAUAUUAUCGAUACAUAGUAAUUUCAAGUAAGGAAAUACUUUGUUAAGGAUAGUUAGGAUGUGUCUUGAUUAGUAAUACAUUUAGAAUAAGAUAUUUGACUCUAUUCACAUAUUAAGGUGGUGACAGUCAAAUGAGAUUUAUAUGAUUUGAUCUACAAUAUAAAAAAUCAUAAUCUAACAUGCCAUAUGAAUUAACCUUGUCAUAUUAGGUGAUUCUAUUAUGAUAUUCUUAUUCGCAUAGAUGUGUGAAUUUCACAAUGGGGUAUUAUAACAUGUGCAAAUUUUUUAGUCUAAAUCAAUGUACGAUUCUUUCAGAAAUAGGGUCAAGUGUACAUGUGGAUCUAAUUAGAUUUUUGACAUGAGUAAUAUGGAACACAAGUCAUUUAGAGACACUUAAUUGUUUAAUAUAUUAGGAAUGAAUGAAGUGUGAUUAUUCAUAUGAUUAUGAUUGAAUGAUUCAAAUAUAAAUUUUAAAAAUCAUUAACUUAGCCUAAUUUCUUGUUAGUAUCAUUUUUUUGUUAGUAUCGUUUUUUUUUUAGAUUUGUUAUGAUCGUGAGUUACAUGUGAACAUAUGAUGUUGUAUGUUAUAGGCCUCAAAAUUGAAAAUGAGAGAGUUUUUUCUUUUAAUUCUUUUGAUGUUUUAUUUUGAUGUAUAUAUUUGAUUAUGAUAUAAUAAUAUUACAAUGUAAAUGUUAUUUAUAUACUAUCACAUGGUAAAUUAAAAUUUAAUAAGGUAGUUAAGGAUGUUAUAAUUAUUCUUUUAAUUUAUUUUAUUUCACUGUAUAUUUAGGUGUAUUACGUAAAAUGUAUAGUUAAAAAAAAUAAUGUUAUUUUGAAAUUUAAGCUUUUGUUAAAAUUAUACCAUUUGAAAAGGAACACAGAACAAUCUUGACAAUUAUACUGACUUAGUACUUAUUUUAAUUUAUUAUAUUCAUGAGUAUUAUUUUUUUCUUAAACAUAAAUAUUGGAUAAAAAAUAUAAAUAACAUUUAUUUAUUUCAAAUUUAAAAAUCUUUAAAAUAAAUAUAAAUAAUAUUUUUAAUCAAGAUGUGUUUUUUAACAAUUUUUUUUAAUUUAAAAAUAAUUAAUUCGGACGAUGAUUAAAGAAAUAUUAACAAAUUAUUUCUGCGAUUAUAAUAAACCUUCAAUAAUUUUUGCACUUUCUAGCAUAUAGAAUAUGGAUCCUUUUGUGAUUUUUCUUUUCUAAAGUACAAUUGAUAUUUUAAAUGUUUUUCUAUUUAAUUUUCCUUUCUUAAUGCACAUAAAAAUUUCAGUGCACAAUUAUUACUCACCUUAAUUCAAAAUGGAAAUUAAAAUUCAAGAACCCUACUUAUAUAUUAAUAUUCAACGAUUUAAAAUAUUAGUAUGCAAAUUAAUCUUUCUUAAUAAUAUUUGUAACAAUUUUUAAUAAUUCAAUGUGAAAUAUGUAAUAAUUACUUUUCUAUGAUUCAGAGGGAAAAUUAUUCCAACUAGACUUUUACAAAUAUAUUUCAAGUGGUAAUAUGAUUUUAAACAAAAAUAGUAUUCUCCACAAAAAUAAAUAGUUACUGUUCCUAAUUAAACAAGUCACAUUCUUGAACAAAAUAUCAAAUAACAAGGAAUUAGACUAUGAAAUGAUGACCAAUUAUAUUAAACAACAUAACAUACAUUUCUCAAUGUACACAAGGUAUAAAUAAUACAAUAUCAUCCAAAACCUGUGUUCACUAUGUAAAUAAACCAUUUUUUUUGCCAUUACCUCUUUCAUGAUGAUGAUUUGUUUACUAGGGAUUGCAAUGAUAGGUCAUGAUCAAAACUUAGGCCUAAGACUAAAAAUAGAAUGAAAUGAGCAUGAAAAUAAAGAUAACUUUUGAGUGAGACACAUUCUUCCUUACAAGCAGCAAGUUCUUCCAGGUUAUCUUCUCUUCCUUCAACCGUAGCUGUGCAACCGCCUGUUGUUCAUUGCCACCAAUAUCUCUAGUGCCAAAACUAUGUUUUCCAAAAUUAGAGUUAUAUGGCUUUAUCUGUGAAGUCUUACCAGCCAUAAUGUUUUAUUUUACUGUUUUGUUGUAAUCAUGCCAAUAGAUAAAUCGUGGAUUUGUAAACCACGAAACACCAUUGAGUAUGCAAAUGGGUUGAAUGUGUUUUUGGAUAUUGCAUUUCAACAUGCUAAUGGUCCUGUAAUUAAGUGUCCAUGUGCAAAGUGUGGUUUCAAAAAGUGACAAACAAGGGAUGUAAUCCAAGAACACUUAACAUUUACAACUUUCCCUCAGAACUACAAAACUUGGUAUUUGCACGGUGAAAGACCAAGUGUAAUUGAGCCUAUGGUCACUACAAGUGUGCAUGUCAUUGAAGAUUUAUUUGAAUCUCAAAAUACAAUGGAAGACAUGUUGAAUGAUGCAUUCGAGUUUGCGGGACAUGAUGAGGAUACUGAAGUUGAUGGUUUGCAAACUAAUAUGGUGGGUGAUGAAGGAAUAUGAACUUUGAUGAAUUGAUGAGGGACAAUAAUGAACCCUUAUAUGAAGGUUGUACAAAGCAUUCGAAGUUAUCAUUCAUGUUGAAGUUGUACCAUAUCAAAUGCAUGAGUAGAAUGAGUGACAAAGCAAUGACCAUGAUUCUAGACUUGCUAAUGAACACAUUUGAACAUGCUAAGUUUCCUAACUUGUUUUAUGAGGCGAAGACUGUGAUUACCAAACUUGGACUUAAUUAUGUCAAAAUACCAGCUUGCCCAAAAGACUGAAUGCUAUAUUGGGGCGAAGACAAUGAAGGCUUAGAAGAAUGUAAACGGUUCAAAACGUCUAAGUGCAAAAAAAAAAAAAGAUAAGAAGCAAUUGCAUUACUUUCCAUUAAAACUGUGAUUGCAAAGAUUGUUUAUGAGUUCUAAGAUGAUUGAGUCUAUGACAAGGCAUGCAUCAAAGGAUAAUCAAGAUGGAUUGAUGAGGCAUCCUAGAGAUUCUGAGGCUUGCAAAUCAUUUUAUUGCAUCCAGAAUUUGUAAAUGACCAUUGAAAUGUACGAUUAGACUUAGCUGCUUAUGGCUUUAAUCCUUAUGAAAACAUGAGUAAAAACCAUAGUAUAUGACGAGUGGUUAUCAUCCCAACAAUCACCCUCCUUGGGAGUUAUGAAGCAAACAUCUUUUAUCCUCUACAUGAUAAUUUCUGGAAAACAAAUGGUAGAAAAUGACAUUGAUGUUUAUUUAAAACCACUUAUAAGCAAAUUGAAGGAGUUAAUAGUAUGAUCAUGUAAUUAUUAUUUAUAUACUAAAUAUUACGACAUAUAGUAAUUUAAAAUUUGAUAAGGUAGAUGAGGAUAUUAAAAUAUCUCUUUUAAUUUAUUUUAUUUUAUUGUAUAUUUAGGUGUAUUAUGUAAAAUAUAUAAUUAAAAAAAAUAAUGUUAUUUUAAAAUUUAAAGAAUCACGUAUAGAAAGAAACAUAUAACAAUCUUGACAAUUAUAUUCUGACUUAGAGAUACUUAUCUUAAUUUAUUAUAUUCAUGAGUAUUAUUUUUUUCUUAAACAUAGAUAUUGGAUAAAAAAUAUUAAUAAUAUUUAUUAUUUAAAUUUUAGAAAUAUUUAAAAUUAAAAUUAAAAUUAAAUAAUAUUUUUAAUUAAAAUAUGAAAAAAAUUCCUUAACAAUUUUUUUAAUUUCAAAAUAAUUAAUUCAGAGGAUGAUUGAAAAAAUAUUAACAAAUCAUUUCUGCGUUUAUAAUAAACCUUCAAUAAUAUUUGUACUUUCUAUCAUAUAGAAUACUUAAUGGAUCCUUUUGUGAUUUUUCUUUUCUAAAGUACAGUUGAUAUUUUAAAUGUUUUUCUAUUUAAUUUUCAUUUCUCAAUGACAAAUAAAAUGGUUCAGUGCACAAUUAAUUAUUCUCACCUUAGAUUUCAUUCAUCUCAUUCCAUUUCCACACUCAAAUCAUUCUCACAUUUUUUUCUACCUAUUUCACAAAGUUUUUGUUAAAAUAUGGAAAUUAAAGUUCAAGAACCCUACUUAUAUUUCAUAUUCAACAAUUUAAAAUAUUAAUAUGCAAAUUAAUAUUUCUUAAUAAUGUUAUUUUUAUGUAAAAAUUAAAAUGUAGUUUAGUCAUUCAUACUUAGAUGGAUAAAAAUGGUUUUAGAAAGAAAAAAAUAUGCAUUUUUUUGAAAGGUUAUCUAAACUCUAAACUCAUUGAUGAAUUAAUAAUAAUAAAUAAUAUGGAAUUCUAUACGAAUAGCAUAUAAAUGUUUUCUUGUUGAAACUGAUAAUUAAUUCAGUCUAGGGACAAUUAUCGCGGUAUUUGUUCUUUUAUUUUUAAUGUUUAAACAAUUAUAAAAUUCUGUUUUUAGAUAUUAAAAUGAUAGUUUUCAUUUACAGAUUAAAAUAUUACUUGUUUCUUUUAAGAUUUUUUGUAUUAUAAUUAUUUGUUGUCUGAAUUGUUUUGAUUUAACAUGUUGUUUUCUUGGGCUAUGAUAUUGUGAGGUUUUAUUACAUGCAGGUACGUGAAUAUUUUUUUUAUCCUAGUUGUAUAAAUCAGGAAAAUUGUUUUUCACAUUAUAAUAACCGUUUAACAACUCUAAAUAAUAAUAAAAUAUUAACUCAUAUUGUUUAAUUAAAGUAUAAAUUAAAUUAUUAAAUAAAAAAGUAGUAAAACUGGUUGCAGGAUGGGAAUAUGAUUAUUUUUAACUGCUAGCUCCUGAUUAUUCUUUUCUAAUAAAAAAAACACCAAUAGCAACAAAACAAGUUUUGACACACGUAGGUUUGGCAAUUGUUUUAAUAGCUGAAAAUAGUACAACAAUUUUUAAUUACCACAAACUGCAUCUUAAAUCAUAAAAAAUUAGCAUUUUGUUAGUUCAUAUAUAAUAAAAUUUCCAUAAAACAGCCAAUUGUAUUAAUUAUUAAUAAUGUAUUUACAAUUUUUUUAGAUAAUUUUUUUACUAUAAAGACAUUUAUUUGAGAUUGAAAUUGUAAUUAACACUUUUUGGUCAAAGAAUAAUAUAUUUCACUUGAUUUUUUGUAUUAAAUAUUUUGUAUAGCGCUGAGACAAAAAAAAAUCUCAUAUAAAUCCCUAUGUGCUACAAGUACAAUAUAACAUCCUUAAUGUAAGCAAUAAAAAUGAUGAAUACUCAAAGUCGUGUAAUUACGCAAAAGAAUCAAGUGAUUUUUAAAAGAACUCACAUGAUCAGUUUAAAUUUUGACGAUAAAAUACAUUAAUUAUAUAUAUUUAUUCAAAAUUUCAAUUAUAUUAUGCAUUAAUGGUUUUAUGCUUUUAGAGGAAUCAGAGAAACUUAGAAAAGCUCCUAAAAACUAAUGUAACCCUAUGAAUAGAAGAGAGCUAAAAGAAAGAGAAAAUGGAAGUGAGAAAAGAUGAUAAUUAAUAAACACGCUCUCUUCAUAACAUAGAGUCUUUAAACCUAUAUUCCCUCAAACAAUUAUAAAGAAUUAACAAUCACACUUUUAUAAGUCAUCACCCACAUGAAACAAAACAAGGUGCCUCAAUAUGAAUAAACCAAGAUUAAUAAGAAAUAUGAGGUUUCACUAACCAAGCUCAGAAUUUUCUGCUUUUAUAGCUCCAUGCACAAACCUAAUACAAUGAUAUGAUAUUCACUGCAAAUGCAACCCAAAUAUGCUAAAGAAGUUAAUGAAACCCAAAUAUAAAGAAUUUGAAGAGAAUGCAACUCUGGGACAACAGAGCACACCAUCUCAUGCUGAACAGAAACAUCAAACUAUAUCUAACAAUAACUAUACCUAUGUUUGCUUUGGGUCUGUUUUUAGUUUCAAUGUUACUCUUUAUCUGCAGGUUGGGAACAUAUCUUGAUGAAAUAUAGAAACAUUUUUAUUCAUAAUAUAUAUAAGGAUUACACAUUCAUAAUUAUUUCUUUCUGUCGUAGCAUUGUCUACCUCAAAUCACUGCAACUUUCUGUUGUUGGUAUUUGCAUAUCACGAUGGUUAUUGAGAAAUUUAGGAGUUUGCUGUUGUGUACCAGAAGUAAAAUAGAAGGUUCAUUUUUUGGUCAUCAUCAAUUAUUAAUGUAAAUAGAUAUAGGUGAAGGAGAUCAGUAUUAUGCAUUGUAUCAUGGACCAUUAGAAGACUAGGGUCACCAAUUGGAGGCAUUGGUAACUUUGGCUAGUAAAACUAAAACCAAAGUCCAUUUUUACAAAGCCUUGGUCUAAUUCACCUUAUAGCUGUACUUUUUCCUCCAUUUUAAUAAUAUUAAGUUUUCAUUUUCUAUGCAUAAUCUUGGGUAAUUUUCUUUUUAUAUCAAUGCUUGAAGUGUCAAAUUGUUACAAGCUGGAUUAUUAAGAAAGAAAAGAGUGCAUUCUGGAUGCUCGAAAGGGAGUGUUUCCUAGAAAAAAAAUGUGAUUUCAGGGUGUCCAGGCUCAGGUAGCAAUGGUAGGAGUUCCACAUUGAAAUGGAUGAACUACUUGAUUUAGUACUUUGGGACUCUCUCACCUAAUGGACUAGUAUUUUGGGUUAGCUUCUCUCCCCUUAAUGCUUAAGUCCUAAAAAACAGUUUUUCUGUUUCUAUUUAUCUUUUAGGGUGUGAUUAGGACCAUGAAGCAGUGGGUGUUUUUUCCAUUAAUGAACUUUGCCACUGCCACAGAUCACCUAGGUUAACCUAAUUAAGUCUUCUGAAUUGUAUUUUGUAAUUAAUUCUUGUAAAACAUGGAGUGUAAAAUUCAUGUACAUUUUUCUUUUCCUCUUUUGAUUUGGAUGUCAAACUAGCAACUUCAUGUUUUGUCUGGUUGGUCUAUCACAUUUAUGUAGGUUGUAAUCUAUUUUGCCUAAUGCAUCAGUUGCAGAUAGGUACUAAAUUAUCUUAGUUCGGAUACACCUUGCCAAUUAGAUUAAGAUCAAGAAUUUAAAGUGAAUGGUUCACUUCUGAGUUCUUAAAUGAGAUAAAAUGUUCAGAGAUACUAAAUCAUCGCCUUCAUUUGAAAAUUGGCGUGCCUAUUAUGCUUUUGAGAAAUAUUGAUCAAACCAACGGUCUUUGUAAUGGAACAAGGUUGCAAGUUAUUGAUUUGAAGAAAAUGUUAUUUGUGCAAUAGUUCUAACAGGAACAAAUAUUGGUGAUAAAAUCUUCAUUUCAAGAAUGAAUUUGAUCCCUUUAGAUGUAGGUAUGCCAUUCAAAUUCCAGAGAAGACAAUUUCCAAUAGCUUUAUGUUUUGCAAUGACAAUUAAGAAAAGCCAAGGUCAAUUAUUGACCAAAGUUGGUUUAUAUUUUUCACAUCCAAUUUUCACACAUCGAUAGUUGUAUGUAGCUAUUUAUAGAGUUCGAAAGAAAAAAGAUUUAAAAAUUCUAACUCUUGAUGAAGAUGGAAUGCAACAAACAAGAAAAAGAAAAUGUUUACACUGAAAUUUUUGACAAUAUUUGAAAACAAUAGAAUUAUAUGAUAAACUUGGAAUGGCUAAUUCUCCCUGCAACCAAUAUUUUUGAACCUGCAACUUUUAAAUUUUUGAAAAUGCUCUUUAUUCCAGAAAUGAAAAUAAUACAUUACAAAAAAAAUAGAUCCAAAAAAGAUUAUUGUGUUUUGGUAAUAAAAAUCGGAAAACAAAAAUCAAAAGCCCAUUAUGAAUAAGAAAAUUCGUAAUACAAAAAAUUUGGUCUUAAAAACAAAAUCUGAAAACAUAUUCCAGAAAGAAAAUCCGAAAUGUAUUUUUAUAUAUAACCCAUUUUUUCAAGGGAGUUUCGUCUUUUCUAUUGUAAAAGGGGUUGGAAUUUGCUCCCUUGGAAUUAUAGUUUCUUAUGUGUGAUGUAGUAACAGUUGCCUUAUUUAAAAUGUUACUAAAUAACAUAUAAUUUAUAUCUGUUAUUUUUAUUCUGUUAUGACUUUAUAUAUUUGUCACAACAUGAAUGAGGCACAAACCCAUCUCAUGUUAACGAAGUUGAGAAUUUUCUGAUUUUACAGGUCCAUGCAAAAAUCUAAUAUAAUGAUAUGAUAUUCAAUAUCAAGAGGUACUUGUCGUAAAACGGGGAAUAUGAGAGACUCCAUAGAAUGAAGAAAAAGUAUAAAGAGGAUUUACAAAUUAACCUUUCAAAUGCAGCUCCUCAGAAUUUCAUAAUGCCUUCACUGCAAAUGCAACCCAAAUAUGCUAAAGAAGUUAAUCAAACAAUACAUGAGGAGUUUCAAGAAAAUGCAACUCUGGAACAACAGAGCAACCCAUCUCAUGCUGAACAGAAACAUCAAACUAUAUCUAACUUAGAAAUCUUUGUCAACAAUUGAACGAACCCACUCCUUAAAUACCAUUGAAAAUGUAAAUAAAACAAAAUAAAUUAAAAACGAGAAAUUCAUAAUAAAAAUUAAACGUGUUGAACCCUGUAAUUUAGAAGUAUUAACGAUAAGGCAGUUUAGAUCCUCACCAAUGAAAGAGACUAGCUGACUAGGUAGCUUUCGGCCUUCCUCUUCCUAUCUUCCCUUGUUUCUCUUGAAGACUCUGCAAUAUUGCUUCCAUUGGAUUGUUCAAAGUCAACAGCACCACCAUAUUUAUCAUCUUUCUUUUUCGUAUAAAGAGGGCAUAUGCCGCAUUCCUUUAUUGUGAUACCUGAUUUCAACCGAAAGUGAUAAUCACACGGACUGAUAAGUGAAGCUGCGAGCAUCACAGAUUCUAAGGCUCAUGCCGCUCGCCCUUAGGAACUCCAAGUUAAAUUUCCACACGAAUGUGUGAUCUUGAUCAACACAUCUCUCUUCACCAUUCGAAAUAGCUGUUUAACACAUCUAUCAUCGCUGCAGAAACUUAAAUCUUCAUUUAUAGUCACUGAAUGUCCCUUCCCACGAAAAUGGAACCAACCAGGAACUGCAGUCCCUGGAAAACAGAAGAACACAGACCUAUAUCUAUCGUCGGUCAUCCUAAGCCUUGCAUCCUCCUCAAUGUUAGCACGACCACCUGAAUCCAGUUGCUGAGCAUUGGUGAAAUGAAAUUUGAAUACACCCUCUUUGGAAUUUGAGAGGUUUCGAACAAGAGAAUUUGGCAUCACUCUUCUAAUGGAUGGGCAAUCCAAUGCCACGAGUUGCUUUAGAAAUGGUGGAAUCUGUGGGAUGCAUUCAAGCUUUUUGCAGUCGCUUAAAUCAAGCGAUUUCAAGCUUGAAAGAUGAGCAAUGCUCUCAGGAAGGUUCACGAUUCCGCUAUCACGCAGUGAUAGUUCCAUUAAUAACGUCAAACGACCAAUGUGUCUUGGGAUUUCUGUUAAUUUGGAGCACCCCGAACAAUUUAGAGAGAAGCUUCAGAUUAACAAUGGAGUUUGAAAGUGACUCGAUAUCAGUGUAUUUCUGAAGCUCCAAGGAUCGAAGAUUAACGAAAUUGCAAAAUGAGGAAGGCAACUGCGCAAACUCAGUUGUUGAAGCCCUACCAAACGGCACAAGGAUGAAGGUAGUGCCUGUAUGGCUGUGGCGUCUAAGAUGAGCACCGCUAGAUCUUCCAACGUGUCCUGAAUCUGGGGUAAAUUUUCCAAUUUUGAGCAACCACGGAGAGAAAGUUGCUUUAGGAAUUUCAUAUCAGAAAGGUCAAAUGGAAAGAUUGUAAGGGAAGAACAGUAAGAGAGAUCUAAAUGACAGAGCUUCUUGCAACUAAAGUGUAAGGGCACACCUUUCAUGAAUUUUGUCAACACUUCUAAGUAUAUAGUAUUAUUAGCCACUUCUUCUUCUUCAUUAUAUCUGUCAAAAGUAAUUGAGGAAGUUGGGAAAAUAUGACCACUGUAUGCACGAGGUUCACCACGCCGUCCUGCACCAUGCCGUUCUGAGAAAUUUAUCUCUUUGAUCAUAUCCGGUUUCUGGCGAUGGAAUCUUGAGAAAGUUUGACGUUGACGCUCCACGCUCCAGUAUCACAUGAGGGAAUCUUGAGAAAUUUCCACGUUGAUGCCCCAGUUUCUGAUGUGGGUAUCUUGUGACGCUCCAGUUUCACAUGACGAAAUCUGGGUUCACUGGUUGAAAACAUAUUAAGCUUCCCACAACAGGAAAUAUUAAUCCAUCCUUGUAAUGUGGAUAAAAUGUUGCUGGGAAUAUUUAUACUAUUCAGAUCAUAACAAUUAUCUAAACAUAAAUAACUGAGCUUGCUGAGUAAUAUCGAAGAGUGAACUUUAAUCAACUUUCCACAAUAACUCAGAAUUAUUUCUUCAAUAUUUGGUAAGAGAGAAAAGUCUGGUAUUCUAGUAAGUUUCCGAGAACCACUCAGGUCAAGCCUUUUCAAGUUUGGUAAAUUCUGCCACAAAUAGUAAAUGAAUCAGGUAACAAAUAAAAACCACUGUUAAAAAAAUCACACUCUGAACUAACAAAACUGUGGCUAUUCACUAUCAACAAUCCCUCUCAAAUACACUUCUACUAAUACAUUAACAACAAUAUCAUUAUAUUAACCAUAAAAUAUUACAUUUCUUCAGUUAAUACGUAGGACAAUAUAAUAAUCAGGUCACUCAGCUAAUGAAAAAAAUUAAACAACAUGAACUCAAUUAAAUAAUAUAAAACUUUUGAGUACUAGAUAAAAUAAGAAAAUUAAUAAAAAUUCAAUUUGAAAAUAAUCAAAUUUAUAAGAUACUUAAAACUUAAUUAAACCUACAAAUUUUCAUUAUAUGGAGUUAAAUACUAUAAAUAUUUACCACAUAAGUAGAAUGUUUAAAUAUAUAUUUCUUCACGUUGGAAGUUUUUUUCCUCUAUCUUAUAAGUUUUCUUUGUUUCUUUAAUAUUUUUUAAGCCAAUGUGAUUUUUUUAAUAUAAAAUAUUAUUAAAGAUAAAAUAUGAAGAUAGGGUAAUUAAAUAUAAUUUUUUAUUUUUUAGAAAUGAUGAAAAUUAUAAUUAAAUUAACUAAAUUAUAUAAAAUUCUAUUUCAUUUACAUAACUACUUUUCAUAUUAAAAAAACUAUAUAAGAUCUUGAAACUAUAAUUAAUAUUUCUACUCAUUUUUCGUUUUUGUUGGUGAAAUCUUGAUUUUGGGAUAGUAUUAGUGAGAUAUUGUUUGGAGUUAAAAACAAGAAAUUCUUUUGCAUAAUCAAUUUGAACAGUUUUGAUUUUGAAACCAGAUUUUCAGAGAAGAGUUUAAAGCGUUCAAAUGCAGCAAGAGCUUGAGAUUUAGCAUGCUAGAGAUAAAUUCAUGUAUAUUUUAAAUAUGCAUUAGGAAAAGAGAUAUCGUAUGAUGCAACAUUAUUAGCACAAACAACAAACAGCAGAACGUCCCCAAAUAUCAAUAUAGAUAAAUUCUAAAAGGUGAUUAUCCACACUGUUUUAGAACAACUUUGAUUACAGAAAAACUAUAACGCCCAAGUCUAUUAUGCCACAAGUGAAAAGAAGUUUUUUCAUAUUUAAAAGAUGUGUAGUUAGCAGAAAAAACAGAGGAUCAGAGAUCAAGAAAGACAGAGAGAUCAUCUUUAAGUGUGCCUUGUAGAAGAAUCUGUUUAGUUACUUAGUCUUUAACAUAGCAAGAAUGAGGGUGAAAUUCAAAAAACACAUUGUUGUUACGAGCAAACUUUGAAACACUAAGCAAAUUCUUAGUAUAAUGAGAAACAUGUAAAAGAUCAAGGAGAGAGAAGGAAGUACAAGAGGUAGACGACACACAGGAAGCAGAACCAAUGUGGGAGAUUUUUAUACCUGCACCAUUACCAAGUUUAACGUUCGCAAUGCCAUGAUAGAUUUGUUGAUCAUUGAACAGAGUAUGGUCGUUUGUUAUAUGGUGAGAGACACCGCUAUCUGGGUACCAUAAUGGAUCUUCUAAAGAUGAUGGUGGACCAAGAAGAGAGUAAGAAGAGUCAUCACGUGGAGGUGGAGAGAAAUGAGAUGUGUUUGCAGAGGAGGAUGGUGGUGUAGUACGAUCAAACCAGUGCCAACAAUGAAGAGCAGUGUGUCCAAGUUUGGAGCAUAUUUGACAGCGAACAGGGUUGCGUUUCCAUGAUGAAGACGUAGUGGAGUUCCAAGAAGAGUAUUGGGAAGGUCGGGGUUUGCCGCGGUUGAACUGAUUCUAGUUAGAUGUGGGAUUGUAACCACGACCACCACAGGAGGAGUUGGAAAAGGGGAGGUGGAGAGAAAUGAGAUGUGUUUGCAGAGGAGGAUGGUGGUGUAGUACGAUCAAACCAGUGCCAACAACAAUGAAGAGCAGUGUGUCCAAGUUUGGAGCAUAUUUGAGAGCGAACAGGGUUGCGUUUCCAUGAUUACGACAGUAAUAAAUGUAUUAUAUUCUUCAGAUAGCCUUCAAGGAUGAUGUCAAUAUGAUCAGUGGAAACAGGGGCAUCAAUAGCGGCAAGCAUGUUGACGGCGUUCUUGAUAUCAUGGAGAUAGGAGGAGAUGGAUCUGUGAUGACCUGAUUUUGUUGUUGGUACCAUUAGAGACUUGGGGACUGUCAUCAGUGGUGGAAGAAGUGGUUCUUGAUGGAACACUAGUGUCGUCAAGAAAAUGACCCAGUUUGAGCCCGCAAAUGGAGGCAAGGACUUGAUGUUUCCAGAGAAGAUAGUUAUCUUCAUCUAGUUUAAGAGUGAUGGGUGUUGUGAACUGUUGAACGGAAGGCAUGACCAGAGGUAACGGGCAAGAAGAAGAUGCAAAAGAAGAUGAAGAGAUAUGAGUGCAGUGCAUUAGAAUAGAGAGAGAAAGGAGAAAGAUAUUAUCUUAGUAUAUGUGCUAAAGGUAUAUAAGGAGUGCAGAACUGGAAACACUUACAAAGUUGUCGUUACACAGUUAUAGUAUGGUUAACAAUGUAUAAUACAGAAAACAUGCUUGUGUACUUUAUUUUUAUCUUUGAAAGUUUAGAACACAGAGGAACAUAGAUAGCUAGAAAAACCUGAUCUCCUUCCCAGAGUUGUUCAAGAUGGCAGCCUGGCAUUUCCAGGGUCACAGUCUGGCAUUUCCAGGGUCACUAGAUUUUGUGGGCAAAAGUUUGGAGGCCAGAAUCUUUGAGGGAAACCGUUCCAAUAAAGAAACUUUAGAGUGUCUGGCAGACCUACAAGAGAUGAUUCAAGAGACACAUUUGAUAUGAAUAUAGGCAUGUAGACCAUAAGCAUCAUAAGAUUGUCCAUCUUUUCGAAACUUUGUGCAUGUACUACAGCAUCUUUUACUUUGUUCGUAUGUAGUAAUAUACACUGUAUUGCAUCUGACCCCUGAAAGUAAAUCAAUUUAAUUAGGAGAAAAAAAACAUGAAAUGUUGCAUUGCAGGAUGUUUAAUGACAUCUCAGUGGUUUGCAAUUUUUUACAAAGUAAAUCCAUUCUCAAUUGAGUAACGACAUAAUACCUUGUUCUUUCUUAAAACCUCUCAAAUUUCCUCAGCAUUAAACAAUCGGCUGCGUUUUCCAGGAUGCUGAGGACACUCUUUACGAACAAUUUCUUGACUCAUUUCUNNNNNNNNNNNNNNNNNNNNNNNNNNNNNNNNNNNNNNNNNNNNNNNNNNNNNNNNNNNNNNNNNNNNNNNNNNNNNNNNNNNNNNNNNNNNNNNNNNNNGAUCCAUCUUUUUCUGCUGCUACCAUGUCGAACUCCCUUCAAAUCAAUACAAUGUCUUCACCAUCAAUCAGCCAAGUGAUUAAUGUUAAACUCACACAAGAAAAUUAUUUAUUGUGGUCUGCUCAAAUCCUUCCCUAUUUACGUAGUCAGGGGCUGGUUGGGUUUGUGGAUGGAUCCAUGCCACCACCAAACCAAACGAUUACGGUUGAGUCAAGUGAAGAAACAGGGAGCCGCAAAAUCCUGAAUUCACAGUCUGGUACCCCCAGGACCAGCUGGUACUCAGUCUCAUCAACUCAUCGGUUACCGAGGAAGUUCUCAGCACGGUGGUCGGAAUCACCACUGCACGAGAAGCCUGGGAUAUGCUGGAGCGGCAAUUUGCCUCCACAUCUCGAGCACGAGCAAUGCAGAAUCAUAUGGAACUCUCCACGAUCCAAAAGAAGGACAUGACAAUUGCUGACUAUUUUCGUAAAGUAAAACGUCUCGGAGACACUCUGGCUGCCAUUGGCAAGCGAGUAGAGGAUGAAGAACUCAUCGCCUACAUGCUGCAAGGACUUGGUCUAGAUUAUGAUCCUCUUGUCACAAGCAUUACAACUAGAACAGAUGUUUACACUGUCAGCGAUGUGUAUGCUCAUAUGCUGAGCUACGAGAUGCGUCAUCUGCGUAAUGGUACUCUUGAGCAAUUUCCUUUUGCUAACAAUGUCAACAGCAUGUCUAAUCGAGGAGGAACUAAUGGACGUCGUGGUGGUCGUGGUCGUCAAUCAAAUGGUGGUCGAGGACAAACAUGGCACACUAGAAACAAUUCUGGACGUCAGCCAUCAAAGGCACAAAGUAACUCAGACAAAGUCUGUCAGAUUUGUGGUAAGCCAAACCAUGAUGCUUUGCAAUGUUGGCACAGAUUUGAUCAGGCAUAUUAAGCCGAAGACAAUCUUAAACAAGCAGUUGUGGCCACAAGUGGAUAUACUGGUGAUGCAAACUGGUACGUAGAUACUGGAGCCACAGAUCACAUCACCAACGAGUUAGAAAGACUUACCACCAACGAACAUUACAAUGGCACUGAUCAGAUUCAAGUUGCAAAUGGCUCAGGUUUUUCUAUCUCUCAUAUUGGGAACUCAUUAAUUUCUGGUUCAUCUAGAUCUCUUGUACUGAAACAUAUCCUAUAUGCUCCUAAAAUCAAUAAACAUCUGAUUUCAGUACAAAGACUAGCAUCUGAUAAUAAUGCCUUUGUGGAAUUUCACCCACACUGUUUUUUUGUUAAGGACCGAGCCACGAAGGAACUUCUGCUCACAAGUAGAUGUAAGAAUGGCCUCUACACUUUACCAAAUAACUCCAGCAAAGCAUUCCCGACAGCCAAACUUUCGAAAGAACAAUGGCAUAGAAGACUUGGGCAUCCUGCUUUCCCAGUCACAAUUAGAAUCUUGAAAAAUAAUAACUUAGCUCUAGAUACUAGAGUUUCUUCUUCCUUAAUUUGCCAUGCUUGUCAACUAGAAAAGCACAUCAAUUACCCUUUGUUUCUUCUCAACAUGUAUCUACAGCACCUCUUCAAUUGAUUCAUACUGAUGUAUGGGGUCCAGCCAUUGUCUUAGUGAAUAAUUCUAAAUAUUAUGUUUCAUUUGUUGAUGAUUUUAGCAGAUAUGUUUGGAUUUAUUUUUUGAAAUACAAGUCUGAUGUUGAGUCUGUGUUUCAUCAGUUUCAAAAACAUGUUGAAACCAUGCUAAACACCAAAAUUCGCUCUGUCCAGUCAGAUUGGGGGGGUGAAUACCAUCGUUUGCACCAAUAUUUCAAAACAACUGGAAUUGAGCAUCGUCUUUCUUGUCCUCACACACAUCAGCAAAAUGGGUUGGUAGAAAGAAAGCACAGACACAUUGUGGAAACUGGCCUUACUUUACUUGCCCAAGCUAACAUGCCUUUGUCCUAUUAGGAUGAAGCCUUCAAUACAGCUUGUUACCUUAUAAAUAGACUACCAUCUCGAAUCAUACAAGCAAGACACACCACUUCAUAAAUUAUUUGCAAAAAAUCCAGAUUACACCAUGCUUAAGGUGUUUGGCUGUGCUUGCUGGCCCAAUUUAAGGCCUUACAACACCAAGAAACUGAGUUUUCGAACCACUAAGUGUGUCUUCUUAGGCUAUAGUUCUUCUCAUAAGGGAUACAAGUGCUUAGAUAGAAGUACAAAACGAAUUUACAUCUCUAGAGAUGUAAUCUUUGAUGAAAAUGUGUUUCCUUUUGAAGAAUUAAAUUCUAAGUCAUCAAUCCAAACCAAAAAUUCACACCAGCCUGCUCUACUUCCAACCUUCGUUAAACCCGUUCCAUACACUGAAAAUGCUCUCACAAAUAUUGAACCAGUUGUUAAUGAUUCUCGUAUAAUUGAUGGUCAAUCUAAUGAUGUUGCUAAUAACAACUUGUCUGGUAUAAGCUUACAUCCUGCAGAUAAUACAAUAAGUCCAGAAAUUGUUGCAGAACAGGAAGCUGAGAACAGUCUGACCAAUUUCCAAGAACAGAUGUUCNNNNNNNNNNNNNNNNNNNNNNNNNNNNNNNNNNNNNNNNNNNNNNNNNNNNNNNNNNNNNNNNNNNNNNNNNNNNNNNNNNNNNNNNNNNNNNNNNNNNGAACAAGAUUGAAAAAUAACAUUGUCCAAGCAAAACAGUUCACUGAUGGUACUGUCAGAUAUUCAGAGACCUCAAGAAAGUUUACCGGUGCUGUCACUGUCAAAAAUCCGACCACAAUAAAUGUACUAAAAAAUGCUACUGAGACUGAUACAGUUACUGAACCUCAAAACCUGCAGGAAGCUCUACAAAGUCCAGGUUGGCAGGAAGCAAUGAAUAAUGAGCUCUCAGCAUUACAACACAAUGAGACUUGGGAUUUCGUUCCACCAAAACCUGGCAUAAAUCUCAUUGAUAGUCGAUGGGUGUAUAAAGUGAAAAGGAAAGCGGAUGAAUCAGUGGAGAGAUUGAAAGCAAGGUUGGUUGCUAAAGGGUUCAAGCAAAGAUUUGGCAUUGAUUACAUUGAUACCUUUAGCCCCGUGGUCAAGCCAUCAACAAUCAAAGUUAUUCUUUCACUAGCAGUAACCAAAGGCUGGAAUAUGAGACAAGUUGAUAUCCAAAAUGCAUUCUUGCAUGGAAUUUUGGAAGAGGAAGUGUACAUGCGACAACCAUCGGGAUUUCAAGACCCAUAUAAACCAAAGGAAUACAUAUGCAAACUCAAGAAAGCGCUUUAUGGCCUGAAACAGGCUCCAAAGGCUUGGCACUCAAGACUGACUGGAAAACUUAUGGAAUUAGGCUUUAGAGCUUCUGUAGCUGAUUCAUCUUUGUUUAUCCUCAAAAACAAAGAGGUAACCAUCUAUAUGCUCAUAUACGUUGAUGAUAUAAUUAUCGUGAGCUCCUCUGAUCAAGCCACCGAAAGGUUGAUUCAGAAGUUGAAAAUAGAUUUUGCUAUAAAAGACUUAGGUGGUCUUGAGUAUUUUCUGGGUAUUGAAGUCAAGAAGGCAAGAGAUGGCAUCACANNNNNNNNNNNNNNNNNNNNNNNNNNNNNNNNNNNNNNNNNNNNNNNNNNNNNNNNNNNNNNNNNNNNNNNNNNNNNNNNNNNNNNNNNNNNNNNNNNNNAAAUUAUUCAAAGAGCAGGGAACACUCUUGUCAAUUGAAGAACAAUUUAAAUACAGAAGUACUGUGGGAGCAUUGCAAUACUUGACAAUGACCAGGCCUGAUUUGGCAUUUGCUGUCAACAAGGUUUGCCAAUACCUUCAUACGCCUACUGAUGCUCAUUGGAGUGUUGUAAAGAGAAUCCUUCGUUAUGUCAAGGGCACAUUAGAUUUGGGAAUCAGAAUUCAGAAGUCUCCAACAAUGCUGCUGUCCGGAUUUUCUGAUGCUGAUUGGGCUGGUUGUCCUGAUGAUCGACGUUCAACUAGCGGCUUUGCUGUAUUUCUUGGAGCAAAUCUAAUUUCUUGGAGCUCUAGAAAACAAACCACAGUGUCCAGAUCGAGCACCGAAGCAGAAUACAAGGCCAUUGCGAAUCUGACAGCAGAAAUGAUUUGGAUAAAAUCAUUAUUGAAAGAGCUUGGUGUGUAUCAAUCAAAAGCUCCUCGACUCUGGUGUGACAAUCUAGGAGCUACAUACUUAACUUCAAAUCCAGUGUUUCAUGCAAGAACAAAACAUAUUGAAGUUGACUUCCAUUUUGUUCGAGAACAAGUGGCACGCAAAGCAAUGGAAGUUCAGUUUAUUUCAUCAAGUGAUCAAGUGGCUGAUAUCCUAACAAAACCACUGUCUAGAACUCUCUUUAUUACACAUUGUAACAAUCUCAACAUGUAUAAAACCUGUUGGGAUUGAAGGGGACUGUUAGAAUUAGUCAGUUAGAAGUGGAACACGUUUGUAGAAGUGGAACACGUUAGUUGGUUAGUUGCCUUAAGAAGCGGAUCAUGGAUCCAACCGUGUAUGCAAUCAGUUACCUUUCUUUAAUUAUAAAUACAAUACGUCCUCCACAUAGAGAGGUACAGUUAGCAAACUUUAUUAGAGCUGAAUCGGUAACAUCAUCAAGAAUGAGGAGAACCUUUGUCCGUUUGAGCCUUUCAUUGUAAUAUGGUGAAGAAGAGGAUUUCUCUUCCUUUAGAAGCUCAGACUGAUAUUUUGUUCUGAUACUGUCUAUUCCAUCUCUUUGUAUUUUUUCUUGAACGUCUAAAACAAGGCUGCUGGAAUCAAACUGCAAUGCCAAUUUGUGAUAUAUUUGAUUACAAAUUGUAGUUUUUCCUAUUCCUCCCAUGCCACAAAUUCCUAUGAUCCGAACAUCCGGUGACUCAAGAUGCAACAAGGACUGAAUUCCUUCAAUAUGUUUUUCAAUGCCGAUGAUUCCUUGAUCAUAACUGAUGGAAUAACGAUUCAAUUUUUUCAACAAGUGUGUGUUCUGUGCUGGCAGAUGAUUUAGAAAAUAAUGUAUAAGUAUUCAAGCACAAAAGCUAAACUAAAGAAAAAUUCUACAGCAUCCGUUUGUGACUUCUGAUACUAGGGAGAAGACUUGUAGGUACAAAGUUAAGCUAUAACAUGUAAUAUGGUUCAGAUCUAAGACCGACUAAUAGAAAUGAAAAAAGAAGCACUUGAUUUAGGGUGAGAUGAACACAAUUUUAGUAAAUGAAAAGAGAUCCUGAUUAUCUGGAAAGUGCGUGACCUGGUGACUUUUGAAUCCCAGCCUGCAAGUUCAGCAGCUUCGGUGAGAGCAUCCUUCCAUCCUUGCACUUUAUCGUGCUUAAAGUGCUGCUCAUGCUUUUCGAAUGCUUCUUUGUAUCUUUGUUCCUGCUUCCUAAUAGUUGAUGGAUCCACCUUGUAGAAAACAGGUAUGACAUCCCUUCCAAAUCUCUUCUUGCAUUCAAGUAUCUUAGUGAGUUCAUUCAAGCACCAAGUGGAAGAUGCAUAGUCUUGGGAGAAAACGAUGACAUAAAUCUUUGAAAAAUAAGUAUGAAAUCUAGAUAUAUAUCAUUAUCACGUGUGGAAGCUACGUCGUCUUGUAUUGGAUUUUCUAAUCUGCCUUUUAUCUUGUCUCAUUCUUCUUUAUCUUUUUUCUCUCAUCUCUCUUGCUUACGAUUUCUUUGCCUUUAUUCAGAAAUUUUAGUUAUAAUAAACCUUCAAUAAUAUUUGUACUUUCUAGCAUAUAGAAUACUUAAUGGAUCCUUUUCUGAUUUUUCUUUUCUAAAGUUCAAUUGAUUUUUUAAAUGUUUUUCUAUUUAAUUUUCCUUUCUUAAUGACACAUAAAAUGGUUCAGUGCACAAUUAAUUAUUCUCACCUUAGAUUUCAUUCAUCUCAUUCCAUUUCCACACUCAAAUCAUUCUCACAUUUGUUUCUACCUGUUUCACAAAGUUUUAGUUAAAAUAUGGAAAUUAAUGUUCAAGAACCCUACUUAAUAUUAAUAUUCAACAAUUUAAAAUAUUAAAAUGCAAAUUAAUCUUUCUUAAUAAUGUCAUUUUUAUGUAAAAAAUAAAAUGUAGUUUAGUCAUUUAUACUUAGAUGGAUAAAGAUGAUUUUAGAAAAAAAAAAUGCAUUUUAUUUCAAAGGUUAACUAAACUCUGAACUCAUUUAUGAAUUAAUAAUAAUAAAUAAUAUGUAAUUGUAUUCCAAUACCAUAUAAAUUUUUUUUAUUGGGUGCGUUUCUGAUGAAUUAAUGCACUCUAGGGACAAUGAUCGCUCUAGUAUUUGAUUUUUUAUUUAUUUUAAUGUUAAAAUUAUAGCUAUGUAGUACAGAUAUUACUGACACAGACAGACACGAACACGGACACAGAAAUACAUAAAAUCUCUAAAAUGUAGAAUACGGAGACAUUAAUCUAUAUAUUAUAUAAUUAUGAAUCAUAUAAAUUAACAAUAAAGAUUUAUGUGCACAAGUAUUUUUGAGAUUAUUUUUUAGAACAGAAAUAUGUUUUUCAUGACUAGUUCACAAAUAUUUGUUUCUUAUUCUUAUAAUCAUAAUAACAAUUUAUACCAUAAAGUUUCAAUUUUAGAAAAUUAAUGUAUUUUUUCUUUUUAAAAUUUCGUUAGAACUGUACUAGAAUUGUAAAAAAUCUAACAAAUACAUUUUGAAUUGGACAUUCCACGAAUACGUGUCCUACCAGUAUUUUGAACAACAUUCUUUCUUUUGGAACAAAGAGGGCAUAUGCCGCAGUCUUUUACUGUGAUAACUCAUUUCAACUCUCACACAACUGAUUCGUAAUCUGUGGGAUGCAUUAAAGCCUUUUGCAGUUAAAUCAAUAGUAUAUGAUGAUGUGAAUGUUAUUUAUAUACUAAAUAUAAUCACAUAGUAACUUCAAAUUUGAUAAGGUACAACAUGUUACCAUAUCUCUUUUAAUUUAUUUUAUUUCAUUAUAUAUUUAGGUGUAUUUAAUUUCUUUUAUUUCAUUGUGUAUUUAGGUGUAUUACGUAAAAUAUAUAAUUAAAAAGAAAGAAGAAUAAUGUUAUUUUGAAAUUUAAAGAAGACAUAUAGAAAUAAACAAGCUUUUGCUAAGAUUCCACCAUUGAAAAGGAACAUAGAACAAUCUUGACAAUUAUACUUUGACUUAUUUUAAUUUCUUAUAUUUAUGAGUAUUAUUUUUUCUUAAACAUAGAUAUUGGAUAAAAAAUACAAAUAACAUUUCUUUAUUUCAAAUUUAAAAAUAUUUUAAAUUAAAAUAAAAUAAUUUUUUAAUUAAGAUAUAACAAAAUAUUCUUUAACAAAUUAUUUUAAUUUCAAAAUAAUUAAUUCAGAGGACGAUUGAAAAAAUAUUAAAUAUUAUAAUAAAGCUUCAAUAAUAUUUGUACUUUCUAGCAUAUAGAAUACUUAAUGGAUCCUUUUAUGAAUUUUCUUUUCUAAAGUACAAUUGAUUUUUUAAAUGUUUUUCUAUUUAAUUUUUCUUUCUUGACACAAAAUGUUCAGUGCACAAUUAAUUACUCACCUUAGAUUUCGUUCUUCUCUUUCCAUUUCCACACUCAAAUCAUUUUCACCUUUUUUUUCUUCUUAUUUCACAAAACUUUAAUUAAAAUAUGGAAAAUAAAGUUCAAGAACCCUGCUUAUAUAUUAAUAUUCAAAAAUUUAAAAUAUUAAUAUGCAAAUGAAUAUUUCUUAAUAAUUUUAUUUUGAUGUAAAAAAUAAAAUGUAGUUUAGUCAUUCAUACUUAGAUGGAUAAAGAUGGUUUUAGAAAAAAAAAAAGAAUAUGCAUUUUAUUUGAAAGGUUAUCUAAACUCUGAACUCACUGAUGAAUUAAUAAUAAUAAAUAAUAUGGAAUUCUAUUCCAAUACCAUAUAGGAUGGAGAAAAGUAAGAAGAGGAUUUACACAUUACCCUUUCAAAUGGAGCUCCUCAGGAUUUCAUAAUGCCUUCACUGCAAAUGCAACCCAAAUAUGCUAAAAAAGUUAAUGAAACUAUAUAUGAAGAGUUAAUGAAACUAAAUGGCGUGUGCUGAAAUUUUUGAUCCGAUAACCAUGCCCACAUUCAAAAAGUGAAAGGUUACUUUGCUUUAUAUUCCUUUGGGUGGUGCUACUUUUCAACUUGACAACAAAUUCCCAUUAUUGUGUGGUUAUCAAUUACCAUUUAACUUAUUCUCAUACCACAUUCACUAUAUAAUAGUCCAUCAUAAACCCCAAAAUUUGCACAUUUUCUAUUUGCAAGACAUCCAACAGACAAAGAAAACAUGUGAAACUGUGUAAUAAUGUGAGAACGUAAGAACUUACUUCAUCAUGAAAUCAAGCCAUGCCUGAGGGUUUUUUCUGAGAGCAUUCACCACAGGUGCAUAUUCAUGUGGCUGUAUCCCAUACUCAGCUAGUAUUUCUGCUACCUCUGCCGCUUCUUUUUUUGUCAAAAAACACAUAUUCAUUAUUAAUGUGCAAUCAAAUGGUAACGAAACUAUGUAGUACAAACACACACUGAUACGACACUAGGACGAACAUACGUAUAAUGUUACUCCUUCUAUGGAAAUGAAGGAUAUUCAGCAAUAACUUUUAAAACUCAUUACAUAGAAAUUUGCAUCAAGUUAUCAAAGUCUAUAGGAAUGAAUUUUCAAUUCAUGGAAACACAGAUAACAAAAAGUAAUAGAAAAAUAGAAAAAAAGUUGUCAAAUGAUUCUAUAAAAAAUUAACCUAUCAUGAAAAUCAAGAUGAUAGAAAAUAAAAUAAUGUGGCAUGAACAUCAAAAUCGUAUAAAAGCAUAAUAGAAGAACAGUGGAUACCAGUUUCUGGCACGGCGAUGAUUUCUUCUUGCUCUCUUUUCAAUUCCCUCGAGUAAUUAUCGGCUUCACUUUUUGCUGCCAAAUAACUGCACAAUGAAAAUUAACAUGAAAUAAUAACGGAAUUUAAAUUGAGUUUUGUGAGUGUGAAGAGUGUGGUUGAACGUACCCGCCGAGGCCCAUGGAGAUGGCGCCGGCGGCGACUUCCGCUAUGCCAGCGGUGAGAACGAUGGAGGAGGUGACAUUGGCGCCGGAGAGGCCGGCGGCGAGGGCGAAGGGGACGGUGAGGCCGUCGGAAACGCCGAUGAUGAUGUCGCGGACUAUUUCGCCGGCGGUGAAGUGCUUCUCGGUGUGGUGGUUGAGAAGGUUCGUUCUCUCAGAAUCCACGCUUAUGCCGUGUUCGGUGGCGGCCAUUGGUGCAAGCUUGUGAAUGUGUUUGAGUUCGCCAACGUGCUCUGGGAAUCCAAACAAAGCCUUGCUGCUUUGCACAUAAAUUGAGCCUCUUUUGUGCUCAACUUACUCCUAAAUAGAACAAAAAUAUCUAACCGUUGAUGAUAUCCACGUGGAAAAUUAUCAAUGGAUAUCAAUAUCACAUUAUUUCUACACUAAUAUUUUAAUUAUUUUUAAAUAUUAUAACUAAAUCAAUCAAUAUAAUACCAAAUCUUCUUAAUUCUUUGGAUUAUAUAUAUUUUAUUUUAUUUUAUUUAUAAAGGAAGUUGUGAUAAAUGUUGUGUUUUGUGUGCACAUUAAUAAAAAUCAAAUAACCAAAAAAUAAUAAUCUUGUGAAAGAAAAAAUGGUAGAAUUUAUACUAUUCUACAAAAUUUUAAAAGUGGCUAAUGUGUUUUACUCAACUAUGUAAAUAAUUUUGGACUCUCUUGUUAAGGAAAUAAUGAAAUACAUUAAAUUUUGUUUUAUACUCUUACUUUAAGUUUUUUUGUGUUUCUCCUGACUUAAUUAAAUAUCAGAGAGUCGUCUUUUGCAGGUAGAUUUCAUUCUAUCAUAAUAUACCAACUGAAAACUUGUUUUCUGAAAAACACACGGCUCUCACCGAAUUGCACUUUCCAAUUUUUUUUAAUAGAAAUAAUAAUAAUUAAGUAUUUGUGUUCUUAUAUUUAAUUUUUAAUAAAAAAAUUAUUCUUAUGUACUUCUAAAUUGAUAUAUUUUACCAAUGUCUAUUAACAAUGGGAAGAAGUUUAUACCUAACAAAACUAUUUAACAUGAUUUGUUUGUAAAUUAUAGAAGUAUGUGUAGAAAGAUAUAAAAUUAAUGUUUUAAGAGAAAUUUAAGCAACUUUCAUAAUAUAUUGUAGAUUAUUAGUUGAAUUUAUGGAAAUUAAAAAUAAAUUGUAGGUCACCACACUUCCACUUUUUUUUAAUGAUAUCAAAUCACAACUUUACAAUUUUCACUAAUUUUUAACCAAUAACAAAAGAACAUCUUAGAAGAAGUGUGUUUAAGAAUUUGAUGUUAACUCUCAUUGUUUUUUAAACUUAAAUCCAGCUUUAUUCUUCAACUUUUAAUUUUUAUACAUAUUUAAUUGUAUAUAUAGUUUUUAACUCUCUAAAAUCAAACAAUUUUAAUUCAUUAAAUAGGCAAUGUCAUGAGUGUUAAACUUUUAACAUUUUUCUAGUAAUUAAAUUACUUAUGAAGAUUCAACUAAUUCAAAAUUUAAUAUUUUUACAAUUUUUAUUAUAAUAUUCUUAAAAUAUAUUUUAAUAUUUUGUUUUUCAUGUUUGAAAUAUAAAUGUUUUAAAAAAUCAUUUUAAAUUAUUUUGUUUCUCAUCUUAUGUAAUAAAUUACUAUAAUAAUUACUAAAACAUUUAAUACCUAUACAUUUUUAAUGAGCAAAAACUAAUAAUGAAUUAUAACAAAUAAAAAACGUUUCUGGGCAACAAAAUAGUAAUUAAUAUGAAUUAUAACAAAUAAUGAACGUUUUGUGGUAAUUUGUUUCACUUUCAAAUAAGUUAGUACUUCGCCUGUUAUUUCAUAACGGUAGUUUUUUUAAAUAUAUUAAGAAAAAUGUUUAUUUUUUUAUUUUUAAUGCACUUUUAAGUAACUUGCCUAUUAUAUUAUAUUAUAUGGGUAUUAUAUAUAUAUAGGUAAGCACCAAAAAAUAAAUUUAAGGUAAAAGUGAUAUAAUUAAAAUAAAAUAAAUUAUUAUUAAAUAGAAAAUAUAUAUAAUUAAAAAAAUCAGUUAUUUAAGUUUUAUUUUAAAAUAAUUUUUGUAAAAAAAUUUUCUUUUUUUCCUUGUUCACGAUUUUAAAUUUUAUAUUCACUUGGUAGACAUGUUUUGCAUGUGGUGUUUGGGACUUAAAAGAAUAAUAUAUGUUAGUUCAAGAUCCUAAUGAUGUGUUUUUAAGAAGUUGGACUAUCUUUGUUUUUUUAAGAAGUUGAAGUCUUUUUAUGAAUACUUAUCUUUUUAAACAGGUAAGAUAAACUAGUUUUAUCUGUAAAACUUAAGUUAGAAUAUCUGAAUAUGAAAUGUGAUUCUUCAUAUGAUUAUGAUUGAAUGAUUCAAAAUUCAAGUAUAAAGUUUUAAGAAUCAUUAACUUAUGUUUUUUUUUUUGUGCUAUUUUUUUGAUUUUUUGCAAUGAUUGUGUGUUGCAUGUGAGCAAAUGAUGUUACAAGUUGUAAACCUAAAAAAAAAUCAUGAAAUUUUGUCUUUUUUAUUCUUUUGAUAUUUUAUCUUAAUGAUAUAUAUAUAUAUAUAUAUAUAUAUAUAUAUAUUUAAAAAUCUCUAUAUGAAAGGAUAGUAUUUUAUGAUAUAAUAAUAUGAUAAUGUAAAUGUUAUUUAUAUAAUAAAUAUCAUGAGAUAAUUUAAAUUUUGAUAAGAUAAAUGAAGAUGUUACAAUAUCUCUUUUAAUUUUUUUUUAUUUCAUUAUAUAUUUAGGCGUAUUUAAUUUCUUUUAUUUCAUUGUAUAUUUAGGUGUAUUACGUAAAAUAUAUAAUUAAAAAGAAAAAAUAAUGUUAUUUUGAAAUUUAAAGAAUGACGUAUAGAAAGAAACAAGCUUUUGUUAAAAUUCCACCAUUGAAAAGGAACAUAGAACAACACUCUUGACAAUUAUACUUUGACUUAGAUACUUAUUUUAAUUUAUUAUAUUCAUGAGUAUUAUUUUUUCUUAAACAUAGAUAUUGGAUAAAAAUUAAUAAAAUUUAUUUAUUUCAAAUUUAAAAAUAUUUAAAAUUAAAAUAAAAUAAUAUUUUUAAUUAAGAUAUAAAAAAAUAUUCUUUACAAAUUUUUUUAAUUUCAAAAUAAUUAAUUCAGAGGAUGAUUGAAAAAAUAUUAACAAUCUAUUUAUGCGUUUAUAGUAAACCUUCAAUAAUAUUUGUACUUUCUAGCAUAUAGAAUACUUACUGGAUUUCUUACUCUUUCUUUCUACACCUCUAUCCAUACUAAAUAUAAAAAUACCAUUUUAUUCUUUUUUCUCCACCCCUUGAAUUUGAAAUAAUAAGCCCAUGGAUUAUGUAAUCUGGAUAUAUUCCGGAUUAGUCAAUUUCAUAUUUAGAAAAGACUUUCGGAUUAUGUAAUCCAGAAGCUAAUAAAACAUCUGAAAAAAAGGCUUCCGGAUUACAUAAUCCGGAAGCUAAUCUUAUGUAUAGAAAAGACUUUCGCAUUAUGUAUUCCGGAAGCUAAUCACAAAAGACUUCUGGAUUACAUAAUCCAAACGCUAAUUCUAAAUCUAGAAAAAAGACUUCCGGAUUAUGUAAUCCGGAAUAUUAAAAAAGAUAUUUUUGAAAUACGAAAAAUUUAUGGGGGUGACACAAGAAGGUAUGGAGGUGCAGGAAGAAACAGCCUGGAUUCCUUUUGUGAUUUUUCUUUUCUAAAGUACAAUUGAUAUUUUAAAUGUUUUUCUAUUUAAUUUGUCUUUCUUAAAUGACACAUAAAAUGUUCAGUGCACAAUUAACUACUCACCUUAGAUUUCGUUCUUCUUUUUCCACUUCCACACUAAAAUCAUUUUCACAUUUUUUUUACCUAUUUCACAAAAAUUUAAUUCAAAAAUGGAAAUUAAAGUUCAAGAACCCUACUUAUAUAUUAACAUUCAACAAUUUAAAAUAUUAAUAUUCAAAUUAAUCUUUCUUAAUGUUAUGAAAAAUUUAAAAUGUAGUUUAGUCAUUCUUGGAUGGAAAAAGAUGGUUUUAGAAGAAAAAAAUGCAUUUUAUUUGAAAGGUUAUCUAAACUCUAAACUCAUUGAUGAAUUAAUAAUAAUAAAUAAUAUGGAAUUCUAUUGGAAUAGCAUAUAAAUGUUUUGUUGUUGAAACUGAUAAUUGGGUGCGUUUCUGAUGAAAUUAAUUAAUGCAGUCUAGGGACAAUUAUCGCUCUAGUAUUUCAUUUUUUUAUUUUUAACGUUGAAAUUAUAAUUAUACAAUUCCGUUUUUAGAUAUUAAAAUGAUAGUUUUCAUUUACAGAUUAAAAUAUUACUUGUUUCUUUUAAGAUUUUUUUGGUAUUAUAAUUAUUUGUUAGCUGAAUUGUUUUGCGUUAACAUGUUGUUUUCUUGGGCUAUGAUGUAAGCAAUAUAAAUGUUAUUUUUAAUGUAAGCAAUAAAAAUUAUGAGUAUUCAAAGUCGUGUAAUUACUUAAAAGAAUCAAGUGAUUUUUAAAAGAACUCACACGAUCAGUUUUAAUUUUGACGAUAAAAUAUAUUAGUUAUAUAUAUUUAUUCAAAAUUUCAAUUAUACUAUGCAUUUAUGGUUUUAUGCUUUUAGAGGAAUCAGUAACUUAGAAAAGCUCCCAAAAACUAAUGAAAUCCCAUGAAUGAAGAAGGAGAACAAAUGGAAGUGAAAAAUCAGUAAGAUGAUAAUUAAUAAACACCCUCUCUUAAUAACAUAACAUAGGAGUCUUUAAACUUAUAUUCUUCAAACAAUUAUAAGCUGUCUUCAACUUUACUGUUAAACUACAAUUAUAAAGAAUUAACAAUCUCACACACCAACAACAUUUAUAAGUCAUCACUCACAUGCAACAAGGUGUGCCUCAAUGUGAAAAAACCAAGAUCAAUAAGAAAUGAGGUUCCACUUAACCAAGCUGAGAAUUGUCUGGUUUUCCAGCUCCAUGCACAAACCUAAUACAAUGAUAUGAUAUUCAAUACCAAGAGGUACCUUGUCGUAAAACUGAGAAUAUGAGGUUGCAUAGGAUGGAGAAAAGUAAGAAGAGGAUUUACCAAUUACCCUUUCAAAUGCAGCUCCUCAAGAUUUCAUAAUCCCUUCACUGCAAAUGCAACCCAAAUAUGUUAAAGAAGUUAAUGAAACCGAAAUAUGAAGAGUUUCAAAAUAAAAAUUUAACAUGUUGAAACUUGUAAUUUAGAAGUAUUGACUAUAAGGCAGUUUAGAUCCUGACCAAUGAAAGACUAAUAAGCAGAAGAGGAAGAGACUAGUUGACUGGCUAGCUUUCGGCCUUCCACUUCCUAUCUUCCCUUGUUUCUCUUGAAGACUGUGCAACAUUGCUUCCACUGGAUUCUUCAAUCUCAACAGCACCACCAUAUUCAUCAUCUUUCUUUUUCGUAUAAAGAGGGCAUAUGCCGCAUUCUUUUAUUGUGAUAACUGAUUUCAACUCUCUCACAACUGAUUCGUAAUCUGGCCACCCAAAGUCAUAAUCACACGGACUGAUCUCAAAAGUGAAGCUGCGAGCAUCACAUAGCCUGAGGCUCAUGCCGCUCGCCCUUAGGGACUCCAAGUUAAAUUUCCACACGAAUGUGUGAUCUUUAUCAACACAUCUCUCUUCACCAUUCCAUUUGAAAUAGCUGUUUAACACAUCAUUAUUUGGAAUGAUCUGUGUGCCAUCAUCAUCAGAUUCAAAUGUUAGGCUGUAACUAAAAGAACCAUAUCUACCAUUCAUAGCAUACGUAUCUAACACUCCAAAAACCACACUCAAAGCGAAACCAGUGAGCCUAUCAUCGCUGCAGAAACUUAAAUCUUCAUUUAUAGUCACUGAAUGUCCCUUCCCACGAAAAUUGAACCAACCAGGAACUGCACUCCCUGGAAAACAGAAGAACACACACCUAUAUGCAUCGUCGGUCAUCCUAAGCCUUGCAUCCUCCUCAAUGUUAGCACGACCACCUGAAUCCAGUUGUUGAGCAUUGGUGAAAUGAAAUUUAAAUACACCCUCUUCGGAAUUUGAGAGGUUUCGAACAAGAGAAUUUGGCAUCACUCUUCUAAUGGAUGGGCAAUCCAAUGCCACGAGUUGUUUCAGAAAUGGUGGAAUCUGUGGGAUGCAUUCAAGCUUUUUGCAGUCGCUUAAAUCAAGCGAUUUCAAACUUGAAAGAUGAGCAAUGCUCCCAGGAAGGUUCACGAUUCCGCUAUUACGCAGUGAAAGUUUCAUUAAUGACGUCAAACGACCAAUGUGUCUAGGGAUUUCUGUUAAUUUGGGGCACCCCGAACAAUCAAGUUUAGAGAGAAGCUUCAGAUUAACAAUGCAGUUUGGAAGUGAGUCGAGAUCAGUGCAUUUGUGGAGCUCCAGGGAUCGAAGAUUAACCAAAUUGCCAAAUGAGGAAGGCAAUUCUUUAACAGCCGUAGAUGUUAAGUUAAUGUGAGCAAAAGUAUGAGCCGGCUCCGUGAUCUCUGGGAAGGACCUCAGCCUUGAGCAACCACCUAAAUCAAACUUCCUCAAUUUCAAAUUGAAAAUGGUGCUUGGAAAAGUUUGAAGUGAAUUACAGUGGGUAAGGUCUAACUUGCAUAGUCUGGUGAGGGUUCCAAUGGAAGAUGGAAUAAUCUGAAGAUUGAAGCAACUGCGCAAACUCAGUUGUUGAAGCCCUACCAAACGGCACAAGGAUGAAGGUAGUGCCUGUAUGGCUGUGUCGUCUAAGAUGAGCACCGCUAGAUCUUCCAACGUGUCCUGAAUCUGGGGUAAAUAUUCCAAUUUUGAGCAACCACGGAGAGAAAGUUGCUUUAGGAAUUUCAUAUCAGAAAGGUCAAACGGAAAGAUUGUAAGGGAAGAACAGUCAGAGAGAUCUAAGUAACAGAGGUUCUUGAGACUUUGAAAGUUCAAGGGCACACCUCCUCUGAGAUUUGCCGACACUUCAAAUUGUAAGUAUAGAGUAUUAUUAGCCACUUCUUCAUUAUAUCUGUCAAAAGUAAUUGAGAAAAUUUCACUGGAACUUCGGAAAAUAUGAACACCGGAUGCACAUUGCGCUUCAACUAUCAUAUUUCCACGUUUAUGCCGCAGUUUCAUAUGAGGGAAUCUGGGUUCACUGGUUGAAAACAUAUUAAGCUUCCGACAACAGGAAAGAAUAAUCAAUCCUGGUAAUGUGGAUAAAAUGUUGUUGGGAAUAUUUACACUAUUCAGAUCAUAACAAUGAUCUAAACAUAAACAACUGAGCUUGCUGAGGAAUAUCGAAGAGUGAACUUCAAUCAACUUUGAACAAUAACUCAGCUUUAUUUCUUCAAUAUUUGGUGACGUAGAAAGGUCUGGUAUUCUAGUAAGGUUCGAAGAAUGACUCAGGUUGAGCCUUUUCAACUUGGGUAAAUUCUGCCACAAAAUGUAAAUGAAUCAGGUAACACAAAAACUAAAUUAAAGUUUUAGGCAAUUUUAUCUAUUUUUCUUCGGUAAACAAUAGAUGACAAUGUCGAAAUACUUUAUAUUAUGCAUGUAUCAACUGACAAAAUAAAACGAUGUUUUCUGAGAGUUAAAAUUAAACCUUAUUUAAAAUAAGUCCAUCUUUCCAUAUUUUAUAAUUUGUUGUAUAUUAUAUUGAAGUUUAUGUUAUAAUAAAAAAAAUGACUUAAUUAAUCAAAUAAUGUGGAGAAGGCACAAAGGAAUUGCAAAUGAAAACUUGUAUAUGUAUAAUACAGAAAACAUGCUUGUAUAAUUUAUUUUUAUCUUUGAAAGUUUAGAACACAAAGGAACAUAGAUAGCUUGAAAAACCUG